Molecule: long non-coding RNA, 86993 nt
Filed under: Fragaria vesca (wild strawberry)
Lineage: Eukaryota; Viridiplantae; Streptophyta; Magnoliopsida; Rosales; Rosaceae
Description: long non-coding RNA (FVES_LNC000569)
Rfam family: tRNA (bases 26961-27033)
Source: RNAcentral
AAGAAUUUAAGGUUGCAGAUCGAUAGCCAAAAUGCUAAAAAACCUGUUUGAGGUUUAGUUUGAUUGCAAUUUUUAUUUUGUAUAUUUUUUUUCUUGAAUUUUAUAAAUAACUAAAUGCAUUUUAUAUCCAACAAGUAUUCCAUGUCAACAUAGAUUCUAAAAAGAUUGAUGAUAUGACAUGCACCAUGUCAUUUGGUAAGUAAUUUUGGUAUAAAAUUUUGGGGUCCCUAACAGUCUAACACUACUCAUCUCGGUAGGUGGUUUUUAAUGUUUCUUUCAUUUAAUAUAAUGGAUUGACAACCACUCGUUCGAUAAAAACGAAAGCUAUUUUGUUUUGUUUACUUCAAAUAUGACAUGUCUUUUUCAAAACCGCCCAUGGUUUUCCAAUUUGAAAUUUGCAUUUUCCAGACGUCAUGUAAUUUUUGGAAGAGCGCACAUUACUGUUUUUCCUAAAUAUACACAAUCCUUCUUUUUAACUACGAAUUGAUUUUUUUUAUUCGCAUAUUGCCUUUUCAUAAUCAUUUGACAUUUUCGGAUUAUCACAUUUAUUAUUUUCCCAAAACCUUCAUUCUAGAACCUCCCACCAACCCCCGCUCCACCUAUAUAAUGGUCGUAGUCUGAUGAGCUUUGGCGUACUUAAACCAUUCUAUCUAUUUUUCUUCAUAUAUGAAUAUGGUUAACUAAGUUCUUCAGGUCUAUUGGUCCAACACGAGCAAUAGCCUUAGCUUAGUACCCUGAAUUUGCUAUUAUGUGGGGCAAGACCAAGAGUAUAUAUCAAUGCCUUAGUGGAGGUUUUGGUUAUAUUCAUCAUCGAAUAUGUGAUUUACCAUUUACCAAAAAAUAUAUAAAUUUACCUCCAUACCUCUUGUUUUGUCAUGUUUAUAAAUUCUCAUGGUAUUAUAAAUUUCUCAUAAUCACUUGCUUCACGUUAUUUUCAGAAGAAAUACAUGCUAAAGAUGAUGGAAAUCCAUGCUUGUGACUGUAGAUCCUUGAUGCAAGCUAUUAGCUAUGUUUCUUGGCAGGUUCUCCACUAACCAGAAAGUUUGAAGUUGUCUUGAAGUUUGAGAUGUACCCUCUAAGUUAGAUCGAACAUGUUGUAGUUCUUCCACCAUUCAAUCAAUAGCAGUAAAACCACUACUUGAAGGACCAACCCGAAAGAGAAUUACUUUAAGAUGCCAUACAUGGCAUGAUACACCAUGUCAACAAUCCCGAUGUAAUUCUAACACUCAUGAAUGUGAAAAACUAUAAACUUUACAAGUGUAAUUAUCUAUCUUGAAGGGCAUAUCACCCACCACACUCAUAUUUCCUUAGUUAGUCUCAUAGGCAUGGCCUUGGUCAGGAUAUGGAAAGAAGAGUCAAUUUGACCUUAUUCAAUUUUGUAAAAAAAUCUUAUCAAUAUUAAUUACCAAAGUUUUGAUAUUUAGUGAUAAAUAGUCUUAAUUGUUAUCGAACAUUUGGGAGAAAAAAAUGAAAAAUAAGUAUUUAGACUCUCCAAGUAUAUACUUUUGUAAGGUUCAUUUACUUUGAUUUUAUUUUUGGUGGUUCUAGUCAGAUCUUUGAAUUUGCUAUAUAUAUCUCCUUUAAUUUUUGUGAAAAUUUAUAUUCUCUCUUAUCCUCUAAAAAAUUACACGUGUUCCAUCUGAGGAAGAAAGCUUGUUCCUUUUUCCCUCUCAACAAAUUGUGUCUCUAUAUAGUUUCCACAAACUAUAAUGUCUUGGCUUGGUCUUUAUAUAAAUUUAUAAUUACAUUAAUAUCAGGCUUGAGCAUUGAGGGCAUGCCUCCUUCUUGGGACUGGGCUCUUCUGAAAUGGGGUUGUUGUUAAGCUUGUAAGGAUGCUAAGCUAGUUUAAUUUUUCUAUGGUUUGGUUUGGUUUGGUUUGGUUUUUUUUUUUUUUCUUGCAUUUCAUAGUCAUUAUAGAUGGCGGCGUUGGUGACCUCAUUUUGAUUUUUAAUAGGAAUUGCUUAGGCUUUUCUAAAUGGGCUUAAUAGCUGAAAAUGAUGUUUGUACUUAGGUAAUGGUGUUCUUUUGACAACCUCGCAAGUAGGGCUGGGCUUGGGCCCAAACCGGCACGGUAUUUACAGGGACCGAGCCCGGACUGAUUGUUGUAUACUCGGGCCGAUCAUUACUCUUAUGAAACAAGAGACCGGUAAAAGCCCGAACCGGGACAAGCUUUGCAUUUUCCAGAAGUAGGAAUGAGUUCGGCUUCAGUUUUUCACUACACAAGAAUAGAAAGACAUGAGGGAGUAGAAAAAACAGGUGGUUUAAAGUGAUUCAGAUCCCACAAUCAACAUAUUCAAUAACAAAGUUUUCAGGGUCCAAACUGCAUAAUAUUCUCAGUUUCUAACAAAAAUAUAGAUCAUUCUAAUGCACUAAUGUUGUAUGUUUUAAUAUAGUACUCGCAAGUGCACGAACCACUUAUAGAAUAGAAGUGCAAGCACGAGGUCGUUCCCUCUAUGGAUUGAUUAGAACAACUUAUUAUGCCAAUUAUACUACACCUAAUGAAAUAAACACAUUGAUUUUAUGAUUUUGAUGAGUGAAAAUAGAAAACUAAAGUAAUAAAACUGAAAUUAAAGACAAGAGAACAAUGAAAUUUCUAAGAGUUUAAGAACAAAUUAUGAAAAUGCUAAAGCAUUGAAUCCACCACCUAAUAUUUCUACCCUCCUCUCUAGUUGAUAGCAAUUGAACUCCCUAGAUUGCAUGCUAAAGAUUUCCGUACAUAAGCCUUAUUGAUCCCGGACAUAUGCCAAAGUUCUUCUAAACAAUGAAUUUUAACUUAUUGAUCCUGUAUAAAACUCAAGUAAUCAAACUAUAAUCUACUUCACGUUAUGAUCAGGUUCAAGUAAAACAUGUUCAACUCCAUUAAGCACAAAAGAACUAGGAAAUCAUGUAAACAAGAAUAUCGACUAGGAUCAAGCACUUGUAUUUUUAACUUACAACUCUCUAAUCACAAGAUUAAAUAAAUCUUUUGGAACUCUAGAAAACAUCUACUCUCGAUCAAGCCUCAUAUUUUCAAACCAAAUAACUAAUAAACAAAACCUAGGUCUCAUUGAUCCCAAGCAAAGAUUUUGAAUAAAAGUACGAUUAAAACGGUGAUUUUGAGAAUUUAAAAUAGCAAUCCAUGAAUUCAAAAGCAAAUCAACUAAAGAAAUAGAGUAAUCAUACUAGGGGCUUCAUCUCAGCCCAAGCUAGAAGUUUAGAAAUCCAUAGAUAAAGAAAACAUGACUAGAAAUAAAGAUAGCAUGGAAGAAACAAUGGAAGAGAUAAGAACUCAGGUUGAGAGAUGAUGAGGCUCUCUUCUUCUUUUCCUCUGCGUUCCUUGCUGCAUCUCUCUGCUGUAUCUCUCCUCCCUCUUUAACGUGCUUAGGGUUCUCUUUUAUUCUUCUUCAAAUCCCAAUUGAUUUGGGCUUUUUAGUCUCCUUGUCCAAUAUGGAAUAGCUUUCUUCUCUCCAAAUAACACAAGGUUAUUAUUGUCAAUGCAGGUGUAACCUUCCAAAUAUGUUAGCCACGUUCAGCCCCUUUCCUUGUACUAUUAAGAUUGAUGGACUUGGGCUUCACAAAUUGGAAUCAUGAGAAGAAACACAAAAUUCGUCAGAAUCUGCCUCCACGCGCUGCAUCCACUCAAACCUUCAUAAUUUGCUCUAGAAAAAUGCAAAUCCACUUCCGCAAAAUUCCUCAGAAAGCAAGCAUCCGUAGCUUUCCAAUGGUGUAUGGCUCGCCUCCAGAUUCCUUGUGAGCAGGUACAAUUUAAUCCUCAAAGUUAACGCACAGCAGGGCAGUUUCUGGAUCACUUAGCUCCAAAUUCUCUUUUUCUCCAACUUAACCUACAAAACAUAAAAACCAAGUAAAUGACUCACAAUUGACAAGAACUAAGCAUAUAAUCAUGUAUCUAAGAGUAUAAAAAUGUAUGAAAUAUAAAUCUAUCAACUACAUUGGAUUACUUUAUUCAUAACUCAAUAUCAAUUAUGUAUCGAAUGCCUUUUAGAUAUUAGUUCAAAAGAAAAUAAUCAACCCAUAUAACUCUUAGAAUGAAAAGAAAUAAAAACAGUACAAAAAGAGUUUAAAAACAAGAUUGAAUUUUAAUGAAAAUAACAGUGCAGAUAAAGUAUCACACGUAACUUACCAUGUUCAUUAUGAACCCUAAGGAGCUCGUAUCCGAAAUUGUCUUUCACAAGGCACUCAACAACUUGCAUAUUUUUGCGUGGUCCUUUACGAUUUUCGGACUUGGCCAUUAUCCGAAUAGAGCAAACCUCAACCAUAACCACUCCAAGAUUGUCGGUGCGAAUGAGGUCCUCCAUAUUUAUAACGUUGGCCAAAAUAGUCCAAAUUAGACACAUUAAGCACAUUAGGCUCAUCAGACACAUCAGGCAAAUCAGGCCAAUCAGACAAGUCAAUAGUCCCAUAUACGACAAAUAAAUGUCAGAAAACCUUUUGUGGAUUUAAAAAAAAAAAAUUAAAGACCUCAUUAUAUAACGUAUACAAUUCGGCCCGUAAGAGAAUGCUCACAUGUAUUAUGUAUGAGCACAACGAAAAUUUUCAGAAAGGUUAGGAAGUCUCCACUAGUGCUCAUAUUGAGUAUAAACACCAAAAUGCUCUAUAGGUUCAAAUUUCAAAUUUUAGUUGUAAUCAAUUUGUUCUAUGGUGUUUGAUUUUUCAUAAAUCUAUUACUACAUUGCUACGGAAAAUCUAUUUUUAAGAAACAUCUCAUAAUUCACUUACAUCGUCACAAAACUAAGUAGAAAUAGUUAAUUGCAAAAAAUCACAAAAAAAGAGAGGUAGAACUACCUUUAUUUUGGCAUUUCUCUUUUGUUUCUUUUAUUUAUUCCUGCCUUUGGACUUUUUUGUAGGUGCAGUUUCCUGUAUGUGCUGAGGAUUACGAAAAAAAAGCAACUCAGAGUUAGAGUUGCAUCAUCAGCUUAUCAAAUUUUAGUUUAAUACGGCAAGAUUCUAAAACUCACAAAAUUAAGCCUUCAUUUAUUAUUCACAGGUUGAGUAACCUCAGAUGAAUUACGAAAAAUAACUUUCUACAUGUCAUUUUUAGAUCAUCAAUAUUCUACAACCAAAGUUAAAGAAGUAAAGCAACAUUUCAUAUUAAGCAAAUACUGUUACUGCGUCCAAAUAAAGAAUGAAACACAUAAUAUGAUUUACGAGUCCACUAAUAAUGGAUGCAUGUAUCAAAGUGUAGGAGGGUUCCUAAUUGAUAAAGGUCUACAUAAAAUAGUUUCUUGCAGAAAUUCGAGGUUCAUCGAAAAUGGAAAACGGAACAACCACCCCUCUAUACUACUUAUUACAAUCCCAAGUUUGCCAUUUCUGUCACGUGAUUUGAAUCCCCAAGCAUAUUAUUUGUAAUUGUUCGGUCCAGUACACAAAAUGGAGAGAGUGAGAAUAAAACGGGGGUUCCCUACCAAUCAGGAGGGGGGCAUAAGUGGCAGAAGCUUCCGAGAGAGAGGUUAUUUGGGGGGGGACCAAUAACAAAGUCAUUAGGAAUUGGAGUGGCAGUUGGUGCUUUUUGAGAGAGAAAAAGAGGGUGGAAAUGUGGAAGUGAGAGCAAGAAUGAGCUUAUUUUCUAGGCCAAUCUAAGUGUCAGUUUAUGUCCCCCCUACACAAUCUCAUCAUUGUAAUAACCUAUUAUCUCACUUAUGCUUUGCAGAUAAUCUGCUCAUGUUUUGUAACGGUGAUAAAAGUUCGUAUUCUCCAUGAUGCUCUCUUUGAUUUUAAGUCUUUAUCUGGCCUCAGAAGAAUGUUUCUGGCUUAGUUUGGUAUUGAUGUGAGAAAACUCAAUUUAAAAAAAUAAAAAAUAAAAACUCAGUUUUAAAAAAGUAACAUCUAACCUCCUUUUUAAAAUCGUGGUUAUUUAGCUUAAAAAGUUUUAAAUAAGCACAUUAUAAGGUUUUACCAAACAAGAAAUCUAUUCAAAAUGGUGAUUAUAAGUGAUUUUAUGCUUCAAAACUCAAUAUCAAACUGGGCCUAAGAGUAAAAUAUUUCUUGCUGGCAGUGGCGGAUCUAGCAAUUUUUCUCAGCUAAGGCAAGUGUCGAACUAAGUAAUAUAUAGAAAAAAAUAUUAAGACGAAAAAUAACUUAAUUGUAAAUGAGUCGAUCUCCAUAUCAAAACAUCUUAAAAAUCAAUAGAAACCUGAAAUUUAUAUUUAUGAAGAACAUAUCAAAUUGACUAAAUUUAUUGAGUUUAAAUGAGUUAUAGCAUAUAAUGAUGAACUAGUGAAGACGUACUAUGUACUUAAUCGAUUAAUUAAGAACAAAUAGAAGCGUCAGGUUGUUUUUUCUGUAUGAAAGGAUGUCUUUGAACUGCAAUAAAAAAAAUUAAAACGACGCCUGGAAGUAGUGUAUUUUUCUCAGAUUUUGCCCUUUUAUAGCCAUUUUUUCAUUGCUUGCUUACCACCAAACCUACAUCUUUCAAGGUAAAUUAUAAAACUUAGUCUAGCCAGUUGAAUAGACUAGCCUAUGAAUGCAUUCGCCCCUGCUUGCUGGUGUUGAUGGGAACUCAAAUGACACUGUUCUUCAAGUUAUGAACUUUUUUGUAGGAACUUUCGCAAUUCGUUAUUUAGGUAUUCCUCUAAUCACUACUAAAUUGAGAAUUUAGGAUUGUUCUCCAUUGUUUGAUCGAAUUGAAGCUCGUAUAAAACAUUGGGAGAAUAAGGUGCUCUUCUUCGCUUGUCGACUGCAGCUCGUUCAAUCUGUUUUAUCUAGCAUCCAAGUGGACUGGGAUUCUCAUUUGAUCCUUCCUAAAAAAGUUUUAUCCAGCAAGAGUGAAUCGUUAUGUGUACUCAAUGACUGAUCAAUACAAGCGUUAACUCUUUGUUCAAAAAGAAAAACAUAUGGCUUGACGUCCCCUUCUCAAAGCAAAAAAAGUAUUUAAUUUUUAGGAAAAUAAAAGGUAUAUGAGGAGGAGUUUUUCUAUUGAAACAUACAAAUUUACUCACUUAACCUUUUACACCUUUUAUACCUCCUAUGAGAACUUCAAAUACAAAAUUCAUUUAGUGAGGAUAGUAAUGUCACUUAAUGAGUAGGCCAAAACUCUUUGAACGCGUCGUACACGCUUUCGUAAAACCUAAAGUUUUGUUAUGUCUCUAUGGGCUUGUAUGACGGCUCACCUCAUCGACAUGCAUCUCGCCUCGCUAGAGUGUGGUGAGUGCAGCCGGGUGGGUUGUUGUUUUGCUUAUGGCUUCUAUUGGUUUUGGUGCAUCUGUCAGAUGAUGACGACAACAAUGAGGAAUCCUUCUAGGUUGACGGCGCAUUCAUGGAGGGUAGGCGGGGUUUGUAGGUUUUUCGCACGAUUUUUGCUUGUUAUGGCAGAUCUAGAUCGAGUCAUAAUGAUGGUGGAUGGUGUACGAUCGAUAUAGGUGGUGGCGAUUAGGUCGAAAGGUGAGGCGUUAUUUGUUUCAUCCGCGAUCUAAGCGUGUUCUACCCAGUUGUAUGAGGGUUUUGGUGCUAGGGUGGUGCAACUGCGAUGGGAUCCCAGGCCGUGGUAGCAGAGAUGGCAACGGUGUGCAGGCGGCGGUGCAAGGUUAGGCCUUGGUUGUGGGCAGGAGUCUACUCAUUGUUUUUUGGGCCGGAUGUUAAGCUACCCAAUUUCUUAAGGGUCAUUAUGUGUGAAAUAAUUCCUCACCGUUAUUGGGUAGGCGGUAGGCCGAUGUGGACUUGGUCCCGGUAUGCACACUCAAUGUGCCUUGACUGGCCUAGUGAGGUGGUUGUUUGAAGAAUGAUUAAGUCAUAUAAAAUUUGAAGCAAAAAGCCAAAAAAAAAAAAAGACUUGAUUUUAUUUGUAAAGUCGAAAAAUGCAAAAACACUAGCAUAUAAAUCACAUUGGAACAAUUGGCAAUGAAAUAUGUUUGUGUUGAAGGUGACUAGGAUUCGAUGUAAUAUAAUAGCAUUCUUUAAAAACUAUUGCUCACAUCUCAAUUUCAAUCCAACGACUGACACCAAUUAUAGUUCGUUAGAUUGAAAGUUAAGUGUGGCUAUUAGGACCUCCAAAUUUUCUCAGUAUACCUCUUAUUCUCUCUACACCUCCAUUUUACUUUUCAAUAUAAACAUUUUCUCACUAGACCUCAUUUCAAAUUUCUAACAUAACCAUAGUUAUUUAUUGACAUAUAUUUUAAUUAGUUACUUAUUUUAACUCUUAUUCACUCAAUGAACCUCUCCUUUUUUCUUUUUUUUACCUUUUUGUUUUUGAACAUCCAUUAUCCCUACCUUCAUUUUUUUAUAAUUUUUUUCAUGCAAGAAAAUGUUUUAUCAUGAACUAUUAUAUAUAUCUUUUUAACUUUUGUUUUCUCUUUUGUACUUGUUAUUUUUUUAUUUUGAAUAAUUUGAUCUCUAUUUUAUACCUUAUAAUAAAUUAUUUAAUAAAUAUAUAUUUCUAUAAUCAAUAGAUAUAUAUAUAUAUAUAUAUAUAUAUUNNNNNNNNNNNNNNNNNNNNNNNNNNNNNNNNNNNNNNNNNNNNNNNNNNNNNNNNNNNNNNNNNNNNNNNNNNNNNNNNNNNNNNNNNNNNNNNNNNNNNNNNNNNNNNNNNNNNNNNNNNNNNNNNNNNNNNNNNNNNNNNNNNNNNNNNNNNNNNNNNNNNNNNNNNNNNNNNNNNNNNNNNNNNNNNNNNNNNNNNNNNNNNNNNNNNNNNNNNNNNNNNNNNNNNNNNNNNNNNNNNNNNNNNNNNNNNNNNNNNNNNNNNNNNNNNNNNNNNNNNNNNNNNNNNNNNNNNNNNNNNNNNNNNNNNNNNNNNNNNNNNNNNNNNNNNNNNNNNNNNNNNNNNNNNNNNNNNNNNNNNNNNNNNNNNNNNNNNNNNNNNNNNNNNNNNNNNNNNNNNNNNNNNNNNNNNNNNNNNNNNNNNNNNNNNNNNNNNNNNNNNNNNNNNNNNNNNNNNNNNNNNNNNNNNNNNNNNNNNNNNNNNNNNNNNNNNNNNNNNNNNNNNNNNNNNNNNNNNNNNNNNNNNNNNNNNNNNNNNNNNNNNNNNNNNNNNNNNNNNNNNNNNNNNNNNNNNNNNNNNNNNNNNNNNNNNNAACGGUCCAGCUUAUGUCAAACUAAAACCGUUAGAAGGGUCAUUAAAACUAAAUUGAACUUUUGAAAGCCUUAACGAUCACCAAAUCAUAUGAAAUUUUGUAGAGGUGAUCUACUCAUAUAGACCUAAGAUAUAAACGGUGGAGAUGUAAAAUUAUAAUCGGGAAGUUGGUGUAAUGCCCUAUCCCUAUAAAUGGCUUAAAAUAGGGAUCCCUCAUUGGAAGGGCCCUGUAUAUAUAUAUGCUUUAAUAAAAAGAAAUUAGAAAACGAAAAUAUAUAAGGAAAAUAAUAAAGAAUGUAAUCAAUUAUUUAUUGAAUUGGAAAGUCUAGAAAGAAUAAAUAUAAUAUUUUCUUUUGUAUAAUUAUUUGUCCUUAAUAGUCAUUGUGUAUGAGGAUAUAUAUGUCAUUUAAUAAUUCACAAUAAAGUGAGGUCUAGUGAGCAAAUUUGGAAGUCUCAAUAGCCGCACUCUUGAAAGUUUAAUUGCAUUAAACGAUCCAUAUUAAUAUGAAAGUCUGUAUGCUUUAUUUCCUUGCAAAAUGCCAAACACGCAUGCUAAGACUCUUCAAUUUUCUACUCCACUAGAAACCAAAAGGUUGGUUUAGGACACACGGCUUAUGUGUAUUUAUGCAUGGCUGACUUCAGUAUUCCGAGCUUAAGCCAGUAUGGAGACUGGUUUACCUCGGUCAGCUCCACACAGUAAGCAGCGAGAGACCAUAUACAAAUUGCUAACAACCUUUUACUUGUUCACCUCAAUGCCCACCAUCUAGGUUAAUGACAAGAAUAAAGUCAAGCCAUUCGAAACGACAUGUGUGAAUGACAAGAAUAAAGUCAAGCCAUUCGAAACGACAUGUGUAAUUAAUUUCAUUUGUGGGCAUUGAGGUGAGCAAGUAAAAAAAUGGUCGGCAAAUUUGUAUCCGAGAGAGACCAGCUUCUUGACUUGACUACCUAUAUGGACGUGGUGACCUAGAUUGGUAUCCUACCAACAUGUGAUCGAAUGCUCUUAGCAACUUAUCAAAGUUUUUAUUAAUAGGUCACCACAUAGCUUGAUCAAUCAUCCAAUGUCUCGCAUACUUUGAUCGUAUAACCUUAAAUUGUAUUCCAUAGUCUAGCUCUUACCACUUGAUUUUUCAUUUAGUUCCUUAAAAUUUAUCAUGAAAUCCGAGUUAGGUUUUAAACUUAGGUUUCCUCCUCGGUCAUUUGAAGUUUUGAACCUUAAAAAAUCUGAUUUUUAUAAUAAAAAAAUCUGAUAAAAUAAAAAAUAAAAAAAUAAAAAAUAAAAAAGAGAAGAAAGAUGUGCAACGGCUUCGUUUAGGUUGUGACGAAAGAAAAACGGCGUCGCUUAGGAAGGAACAUAACCGCCUCGCUGUUCCUGGAGAAAAGAGACGCUAAUAUAAAGCUUUCCCGAUAAACAAUAGCGCUCUCAUUUUGGCUCCGUUCAGGCAGCUUAUUAGGGUUUUGAUCUUCAAUCUCUUCACCGCGACCCAAAUAUGGCGACGGCGUCAGGUUCGUAUCCUCUCUCUUCUUCCUUCACACAUCUCUCAUAUCAUUACCCUUUACUUUUUAUUUCCAAUUUUUCUUAAUCAUGAAGAAAGACCCAUCCUUUGUGUGGUUUCGUAUGUAAUUGAUCGGUGUGGGAAUUCAAAUAGUAUCAAUUCUUUGUUUAAAUUAGUUAUCUGUGUCGGUCGAAACUGGUUCGAUUUUAGGGUUUUCAGGAGCUGAAUUUGAUAAGUUAGGGGUUUUCUCAGAAAGUGGAGAUUCGAUUGAGUUUUACUAUUAGUAUACUCAAUUCAGUUGAGAAUCGGUUUUAGAAGUUCAAAUUAUGAGUCGAAAUGCUCGAAACCGUAGCUAAAAGGCUUGAAGAGUUUGAGUUUCAUAGUUUUGAUGUAUUAAUUGCUGUUGGUGUGUUGUAGUGGCAUUCAAAUCAAGGGAAGAUCAUCGUAAGCAAAUUGAAUUGGAAGAAGCCCGAAAGGCUGGGCUCGCACCAGCUGAGCUCGAUGAGGAUGGAAAGGAGAUCAAUCCUCAUAUUCCUCAGUAUAUGUCCUCUGCACCUUGGUAUCUCAAUGCUGAAAGACCUGUAAGUUGUUCAUUUUUCGCUUCUGAUGCUAUGUUGUUAGUUUUGACAAGCAAGCCUCGGUGUGAGGUAUGAGCUCGGGUACUGAUACAUGUUAUUUUGUUCUGGCUUUUCGUUUUUGGUUUGAUGCAGAGCUUGAAACAUCAAAGGAAAUGGAAAACAGAUCCAGAUUACACAAAAUCGUGGUACGACAGAGGUGCAAAGAUUGGCCAGGCUGAUAAAUAUAGGAAGGGUGCAUGCCAGAAGUAAGUCUAUGUCUCUCUCUAUAUGUCUAAGUCUUUUGGUUCCAUGGAAUCUAUUUAGAUAAUGCAUAAUUAUUUAAUGGUGGAGCAUUUUGGUGAAUGUCUUGUUUUGUUCAUCACUGGGAAUGCCGUGCAUCCUGUACCCAUACAAGAGUGAUAUUUUUCUUCAUCAUUAUUGUUUUUCCUGAACCGGAGACUAAUCAAUAAUGUCUGUGUUUGCAGUUGUGGAGCUAUGUCACAUGAUGUCAAGUCUUGUAUGGAAAGACCCAGGAAAGUGGGAGCAAAGUAUACAAACAAACACAUUGCUCCUGAUGAGAAGGUAGAGACUUUUGAGCUCGACUAUGAUGGAAAACGGGACCGCUGGAAUGGAUAUGAUGCAUCAUCUUAUGCUCUAGUCAUCGAGAGAUACGAAUCAAGAGAUGAAGCACGAAGGAAAUUCUUAAAAGAACAACAACUUAAAAAAUUGGAGGAGAAAAAUAAUAACCAAAAUGGUGAAGAAGCAGUUAGUGAAGAGGACGAAGAGGAGGCUGAGGACGAGGAUGAUCUGAGGGUGGAUGAAGCCAAGGUUGAUGAGAGCAAACAAAUGGACUUUGCAAAGGUGGAGAAGCGUGUUCGUACAACAGGUGGUGGGAGCACAGGAACUGUCAGGUAAUAGCUUCUUUUGAUGUGAUGUUUUAUCCCAUCUUGUGUUUAAUGGGUGUUAUUGUGUGAACAUAUAACUGCAAGUGAGUAACAAUGUUUUAUCUGCUGGUUUCUGUAUGGUAAAUUAGUAAUGCUAGAAUUAUUCUCAAGGGCCUUAAUAUCAUGUGUAACGUUAUUCAUUGUAUAUAUGUCUACAGGAAUUUGCGUAUUCGUGAGGAUACUGCAAAAUAUCUUUUAAACCUUGACGUCAACUCUGCACAUUAUGAUCCCAAAACCCGUUCCAUGCGUGAGGAUCCUCUUCCAGAUGCUGAUCCAAAUGAGAAAUUUUACGCGGUAGGUGGCUCAGAAAGUUAUUUCAUAUCUAUGGUUGGUUCUUUAGUACUUCAUGUUUUACUGAUUUGACUGGUUUCUGUAUUACAGGGUGAUAACAGAUAUAGAAAUAGUGGUCAAGCUAUGGAGUUCAAGCAGUUGAACAUUCAUGCCUGGGAAGCAUUUGACAAGGGACAAGACAUUCACAUGCAAGCAGCCCCAUCCCAGGCUGAAUUACUGUAUAAGAACUAUAAGGUAAUUAAGGAGAAUUUGAAGUCGCACACAAAGGAGACCAUUUUAGAGAAGUAUGGCAACGCAGCUAGUGAAGAAGCGAUUCCUAGGGAGCUUUUACUGGGACAAAGUGAAAGAGAAGUCGAAUAUGAUCGUGCUGGAAGGAUUAUCAAAGGACAGGUAAAUUAUUUACAUCUACUGUUUGUUCAUGAUACGAUAUAGGGUUUUUGUUUUGUCUCAUUAUGGAACUCAAGGAGCACUAAUGUAACUGUCAGAGUCAAACGAAAUAGGUAUCUGAUCAAUCUGUCUUUGACUGGUACAGGAAACCACACUUCCCAGAAGCAAGUAUGAAGAAGAUGUUUAUAUCAACAACCACACCUGUGUAUGGGGUUCAUGGUGGAAGGAUCAUCAAUGGGGAUACAGAUGUUGUCAGCAGUUUACUCGAAACAGCUAUUGCACAGGUGCUGCUGGAAUAGAGGCUGCCGAGGCUGCAACUGAUCUGAUGAAGGCUAACAUUGCUCGUAAAGAGGCUGUUGGAGAAAUGCCUCCUCCUGCGGAGGAGAAAAGACCUGCCACUUGGGGAACUGACAUCCCAGAAGAUCUGGUUUUAGAUGAGAAAUUACUUGCUGAAGCUCUUAAAAAAGAGGAUGCAAGAAGGAAAGAAGAGAGAGAUGAGAGAAAACGCAAAUACAAUGUCAGAUGGAAUGAUGACGUUACUGCUGAGGAUAUGGAGGCAUACAGGAUGAAGAAAGUUCACCAUGAUGAUCCAAUGAAGGAGUUUCUGAACUGAUUUUCAUAUAUCAUAUAAUCGUGGUGAAGCUUAACUACUACCUGAAUCAGACCUGCUCAUUUCAGUCAGAUCAUUUCUUGGAUCAGUUGGGAUCCUGAUUAGGAGCCAUCUGAUAUGAGAAGCUCCGAAUGGGAUUUCUUAAGCAAAUCUCUUAAAAGUGUGAGGUGUGAUUACUGUUAAGCUAAAUGCUGAGGAGUUGGCAGUUAUGUUGCUGUUAAAGAGCGUGGUGGUAGGCUGUGCUCACUUCAAUUGUUGUUUUAACUUUAGUGGCAUGAACGAGUUAUGUAAUGGAAUUACUUUGGGUUUAAGUAUUAUGUUCAUGUUCUUGGUCCUGCCAGGACAUGUUUAUCUUGAAUAAAUUGUUGGAAGCAGAAACCCGAAGAGUUUUUCUUUUGGUCUUUGGUUAUUCUAAUGGAUUCCAACGGCCAUAUCGAACUAUAAACUGGGCAAAAAGUUGCCAGCUUAAAAGAGUUGAAGAAUCUGAUUUUGUACAUGAAAUCCCAUAUCAGCUUAAAGAAUCUGAUUGCAAAUGGAAUUGGCUUUAUUUACACCCUAUACAGGAUCAACUGUAAUAAUUCAAGCUGUUCUUCAUUACAAGCAAUUCACUAUAAAUGGCAACGGGCCAACGUCUCCUGGUCCUUCAUUUCUGCCCUGAACCGAGCUAUAAACUCCUCAGCUCUUCUAUCGAUUCCAUCCAUUUGGGGGGAGGCAAUUCCCAGCGACUCCCACAUAUCAUCUGCAGCACUAGUCACUCCGUCAGACUCGUUAUUCUCACUAGCUGCAGAUGGAGAUUGCUUGCUUGCCACAGAGCGAUUAGCAAUAGGCUUGAUCACACACUUUGCUUCUGGAGUUUUCUGGUAUUGACAACGCUCAGCAACCAGCUCGGAGACAGCAGGCUCUUUAAAGAGCUUGUCAACAUACACAUGAGCAUGCCGGCUUUGGAGCAGGCUGCGGCAAUUAUGAUGAAAGCGCAGCGAAAAGCGUGGUUUGUGCUGCAACCGUAGCUGGAGAAACUUGUAGGGUCGAACGCGAAUAGAGAUUGUAGUGGAGGGCUUGACUCGAUUUCUUGGUUUGUUGGUGGCUUUGCGUUUGUAGAGCUUGCUGUGUAGUUUGGAAGUGAAGCUCUUCCAAGCCUUUCUGGCUGGUGGAAGCCUCAGCCUCAAGCAAGACAUGAAUGGGAUGCUGAGACGCUGUGUUAAGGUGCUUCUUAUAUAAUAGGCUAAGCUAGUAGAUUAUAUUCCUUCAUCUUUUGGAUUUUGGAUUGGUUUUACAUGGAUUAGUAGCUUACUUCUUAAGCCACGCGCUUCACUUUACAGAAACUGAGAGAACAAAAAGGCAUCACGAUUCUAGAAUCCAAGUUGCAACUUUCUCAGCUUGUACAUGUACUCGAUUCGAUUCUGAAAGCCAAUAUCAACCCCAUGGCCACCUAUUUCAUGAAAAAUACGCAUGAUUUCAAUCGUUUUGCUGAGAUGUGUAUGUCUUUUUCUUCCUAUAUGCAUGGGUGAAGUAUACCCGGGAAAAAAAAAAUCCAAGGAUAAGAUCAGUAUAUGAGCAUCUCCUAAAUUAAGUUUCGGAAAUUUUACCUCAUGGUAUGAAUGGAUGCUGUUGCUUUCUUAUUGCAAAAUUUUUCUAGUGUAGUACAAUUGUAGACUGCAUCUAACUUUCUUUUCCUGCAACUUGUAAAUAUGCCUCUGUCACGUAGUUGGAAGAAAACACAGCGAGAAAUGGAGAUAGAUUCUUCCAUUNNNNNNNNNNNNNNNNNNNNUCUAGUAUCUAGAUAAUAUUGUGUAGAUCAUCUCUGCAAAAUUUCAGCCAAUUUGGUAAUCGUUAAGGCCUUCAAACUCAAGUUUUUCUGGUAUGAACACAACCGGACAGAAUUCAGUCCGUCCAUUUGUUUUUCGAGUUUAAAGGCCUUAAUGAUCACCAAAUUGGCUGAAAUUUUACAAAGAUGAUCUACACAAUAUUAUCUAGAUACUAGACGGUGGAAAUAAAAAAAUUCGAUCUAAAAGUUGUGCAAAAAUAGAAAUCCGCACCAAAAUAUUCGUACGGACAUCCGCAGCUGAGAAAAUCCAUAUAUAUAUAUAUAUAUAUAUUGUCCGAGAGAGUAGAAAAUUGACCCUCAUUCUAGAGUGUGCAGUAACAAAGAAUUUGUAUUGAUAAUAUUAUUUGCUCAGAAUCUGUCACUCCCAAAAAGGAAAUUUGGAGGGAUUUUGAUUUGCUUAUGCUCUCAGUAAAGAACUGCAUUGAAUUGAUCAUACUAAAAUUAAUAUACUACAAAAUUUCCUGAUACAACAUCCACAUCGGUUAUGAUCAGAGCUUAUGUGAAUAACUAUAUAAGUGACAGCAUUCUAAAUUGUUGAAUCUCUCUUACUCUCCAUAUUGGGAAAAGAGCACCUUCAGGAAGUUCUUCAGGAUCCCAAGGUUGCAUGGCCCAGCCAUAGAUCACAGUCUGGAUCGUAUCCUAAUGAAACAAUUCGAUUUCACAAAACAUGAGCUUUUACAUAUAAAAUUUACAACUCGUAUGCUGAAGAAAGAAUACAUGUUCUUAUAGAGAAGACUGAUUUGAAGAUGCACCCACAAAGUAUCGCUUAAGGUCAAACCCACUAAACCAAACUAAAUCCUUUAGGAGUAAAUCAAACUUUACUGUUCUGAAUAGAGAUUAAACCAAGUCAUCAGACGUCUCCACCGACAACGGAUAGACUGAAGAUUCAGAUGGCUUGCCAUUGCUCAAAUUAGGGAAAAUUAGCACUUAAGUAUAUGAAUAUUAUUUUUUACCUGGCUGCCAUCUGUUAUUGCUCCAUUUUUAUCACGCACACAAUAGAUUUGCUGUGUUUGGAACUGCAACAAGUUUGUGAAAAACAGCCGUUACUACCAGACUAUCAGCUUGUGUACAACACUUGCAAUUGAGGAAAUAUUUGAAAAUACCUACCCGGACAAUGAUUACAGGAGACUCUCCAAUCAGUUUGGUUUCUACGACUUGCACAUCAGAUAUAUGUAGAAUCUGCCCUUCCAAAAGACAACCAUAUAUUAGUAACAUGAUGAUGAUAUAUCCAUGCCAAAUAGCAUGACCUGAAAAGGCUUCCCUCACUCAUUUCAUAAAAACAGAAGGUAGAAAAAAUCUGCUCAACCUUAAUCAGCUAAGUAGAACAUACAUUACAAAAAAAAGAAAAAAAAAAAGUAAGAACAUGCAUUGUUAUUUAGUAACAGUUUGCAUGAUAGAAAAUGAUAUGGCUACCGUAGUGAAUGUCUAUUGACAUUCAAAAUAAAAUAAUAUCGGUACUAUGUCGAAGUGAGUCAACUGGAAAGGAGCUUAGUUAAGACCCUCGCCAAAUCACACACAUUGAUUAACUAUUAUUCAUAGUUUAGCAUGAGCAGAGGCUUAUAUGGAUUAAUAAUUUUUUGAUGACAUAUAUUGAAUAUCAACUCCUUAAGUUAAUACCUCCAACUUCACAUCUCAAUCUUUAUUAGAUGGCUAGCCUUCAGAAUCAAAUAUCAAUGCGCUAUAGAUCAACAGUGAAAGACAGAAAUAUAAGCACGUGUUAUUAUAAUUUUGCUAACCUGAAUGCGACAAAAAUUGGCAUGGAAAUACUAACAUCUUUAUGGAAGAAGCAAAAUUUCCUACCUUGUUAUCAAAAAAGAUAUCAUGGCUUUGAUAAGCCUGACGCUCGGCUUUACACCGCUCAAUCACCUCAUUAGCACAGUACUUCUUCAAUGUUUCAAUAUCUCCCUGUUGAUAAAAGUGAAGGUGAGAAUUUAUAUCACUUUGAUGAGGAUUAAACCAUGAGAAAGACAAAUAAAAAUGUGAAGCUACAAAUCGAGCAUUUCUAACCUUCAUGUAAGCAUUUAACACAGGUUUGACCGCAUUCUGAACUUCUUCCACAAAAUCUGGUAAAGAGAAAGAUCUGAUCCACCCAAAAUGUUACAAUGGGAAAAAUAAGUUAGUAAAGUAAUCAAAUUAUAAGAUGAAUAUGACAAGGGAAACGUCACAAUGGUCAUACGGAUCUCGGGCAUGGAUCUCCUUGAUUGAUGCUGCAGCAUUUGUUUCUUGAAAAAUACUUUCAUUGAUACUGCAAAAGACAGGAUGGUUAAACAAAGCAAUCAUCUAUUUUGGGGGGAAAUUAACUCAUAAGUACUGAGCAGAAAAGCAAAUGAGUUUUAGAAGCAUACUCCUGAAUUUUGUGAACAAUUGGGCUAUCAGAAUUUUCCCAGCGUUCCUUCAUGUCAUCAAUGAUCUGCCAAUUCCAACAAGGAUAAAUGAAACAGUAUACCAAUAGAUGAAGUACAAACAAUACUACUUGGGACAUAGCAUGAAUGAAACAAUAGUUGAAGCAAGCUAUCAAGUUCCCUCUUCUAUUAAUAUUAAUAAUAAAAAAAGAAGCAGUUUUCCACUAUUUCUCUCACACAUAACAUGUAAUUGUGUCAUCCUACCCGCUUUAAUACAAAUGAUGGCAUCCAUAACAGCAUUGCAUUACAAAAAAUAGAAAUAAUAAAUGAUACAAAAUAAUUGUUAUCUUCUGACCAAACUAGAAUUGAAAGAUGAGAAAGAACAUUUGAAUUGCAACAUUAUACCUCUUCGCCUUUUAUUUUAACAGGUUCACUUAUCCCACUGAUAUGCUUGAAUAGAGGAUUCCCUUGCAUCUAUGUCAGAAAGAAAAAUAAAAGUAUUUCGCAAAUGAGAAGAGGCAAUAAGAUAGAUCUUCUUCGUAAUACUUUGUGUAAGCAUAAAAACUUACCUUCAUUUUGAAAGCCUCCCACUUUUUGCUCCAAGGAGAUUGUUUGGUGGGUACAAUAGCAAUGUCACUUGUUGCACUUCUCUCAACUCGUGGGAUGGAAGAAGGAUCAAACCCUAGAUGCUUUUUCCUACUUUGACUACCAUUUAACUCAUCCUUUACAAUUUCAUAUCCUCUUUUGGCCAUGUCAACAAACUUGGCUUCCUUGAAUCUAUUCAAGACAGAGGAAACAUUUGAUGAAGAGACCUUUGACCUAAAUUUUCCAAAUAAUGUUUCUGCAGUAUCACUAGCCCCUGAGUGCUGGUGUUUAUCUUCAGUGGAUGAGGCCUUGCUUCCACCUUUCUCAUCAGCAACAUGGUCAGCUGAAGCACGAGAAGGCCCUGAAGCCUGCUCUUUCCCUAUUCCAAAAGAUUCUUUGACCUGAAUUGGAAUAACAAAGAUACACAGAAAAAUGUCAACCAAUCAAAGUAUCUAAUAGUACAUGGUAGAAGGUAAAAAUUGAAACAACCAAGCGGACCUCUUCUGUGGCAGCCGAGAACUUCUCUUUUACAUUUGCUGAGACCUGUACACAUAAUUGUCAGAUGAAAACAUAAAUAUCAGAACAGACGCCAGAUCUUAUAUUCACAAACUAUGACCAGUUGCCAAAGUGGCAAUAACAGCUGGUGCACAGCAGGAGAAUGCAGCCACACAACUGCACAUAAAUCUAAAUUCUAACAAAAAAAAAUAUAUAUGUCCAUCUAGAAAAUUGGAGCCAUUGCAAGAGUUAUUUUAUAUAUAUUAAUACAUAUAAGGGCAUCACAGUUUUUACAAGCGACACAUUCUGCCACUAAGAAAAUCCUAUGUCCACAAACUCACAAACUUUCCAUAUUUUAGAAUUCUGUGAAGUGGUACCUUCUUUGCUGUUGCUUCAGCCUCCGUCCAAGCACCAUCCACCUGCUUGUAUAGCUGCUCCGUUGUCUGCUUUGUUCUGCAUUUGUGAUUUCAUCAUCUCAGAGCCGCCAUGGGGUAGUGCCCACCAGCCUUGACAUACAAGGGUAUGUCUCAGCCUAUAAGCUAAAAACUUUUAAAAUUUCUUAUGGCAAUAAGUCAUUAUAUCACAUAAUUACCUAACUUUCAGAUCUUCUUUCACUCCCUUGAGCUCUUCCACUUGCUUCUUCAGCUCCUUGACCGUCUUUUUAAAAUGUGGAUUCCUGCAGCCAGAGACAAUAUACUGAGUUUAAUGUUGUAACCUGUAUGCAAACAUACCACAAUCACCAAAUGUCAUAAACAAACUCAUGAUCAGAAAAAAAAAUCCCGCACCGGUCAGAAGUUUGGAAAACAAACAGGAAAAUUCACAAACUUUUACUUCACACUCGACUGGGGACUCAAGCUAUUAAUCCUAACAAGUAAAAACAAUCAGAAUACCAGAAUUUACUCAAAAAAAGUUGUCAGCUUCAGGCUGCCCAACAUUAUAUACCAAUCUAAUUCGCCAUAAAAUACCGUUUAGCUUAACUACAGACACCCAAAUCAACAUUACAAAUGCAAAAUAGAUUGCGAGAGAGAGAAGUACUUAUUGGUUUCCUCCUUGACCUGCUUGGAAAACUCAUUGAAGACACUGAAUCGACGAUUCCCGGAAUACCCAUUUGCCGAAAGCAAUCGAAUAUUCGUGCCUGAAGCCUAUCACCACAAAACAAACAUGAGAAUCAAAUCAAAGUUUCAAUCUUUGAUUGGCAAACUUGUUGAGAUGACCAAUACCUGUUGUUGAGACCGAAGAACAAGGGAUUGUCUGUGGAGGAACAAAUCUCGAACAAGCUUUCUACCAGCCAUGAUUGUUGAUUCAACUCUUUAGUGGGGUUCCAUAUAAAUAAGAGUAGCUCACUUUUAAAUUUGAAUAAGAACAAAAAAAGAGGAAGAAGAGAGCCGAGAGAUUUCGACGGCAAAGGAGUUUUGUUGUCCCGGACGAGUGUGGGAAUUAAUAUCGAGUUUCCAAACUUGGGAAGAAAGAAAUAAGGGAACGUGUGCUUCACAGUUGCAAAACCCCGAAAAAGGCCUUUUAACACCAGACGCUAGGGUUUAUGGUUUUCGAAGGUUCAUCAGUCAGAAACACUAGGGGUUCAAACAGCCCAAAAGGCCCAAGUGCCUAACACUAAUGGUUAUUGUUUUGUUUUUGGUAACUGUCCGGGUGCUGUUUGUACUUUGACUACUUUCUACAUACCCACAUUAAGUUCUUCCCAUGUCUAACAACCAUAUAACUCGAGGAGAGGCUUUCUUUGUGUGAUGACUGAUGAGUGAUUGAGUAAUCUGGGAACCAACCUUCUCUGGGAAAUUUGGGAAUAGAAAAAUUACUUUGGGUUACUUUCAUUAAAUGUUUACCUUUUGUUUGUUUUUACUACGUUUGACUCUUUUUAUUUUUUUACAUUUCUCUUAACUUUUUUUUUUUUAAAUUUAUUAAUAACUCACACACCCUACCUAUGUUUAGUGAGAUUUAAACUCAUGACCUCAAAAUUGUUAGUUAAACAUCUUAACUAACCAAGUCAUGGCUCACCGACACAACUCUCUUAACUAACAAUGUUAGUAUCAAUGUUAGUGCAUUUUAAAGACUUAGAUCAAAUGAACAGCUUAGAUUAUAUUAUAACUAGGGGUUCAUUUGUACUUGAGUGCGACUGUUAAGACUUCUGAAUUUGUUCACUAGACCUCAUUCUAUUGUGAAUUAUUAAAUGACAUAUACAUCCUCAUACACAAUGACUAUUAAAGACAAUAAUUAUACAAAAGAAAAUAUUAUAUUUAUUCUCUUUAGACUUUACAAUUCAAUAAUAAUUGAUUUCAUUCUUUAUUAUUUUCCUUAUAUAUUUUUGUUUUCCAAUUUCUUUUUAUUAAAGCAUAUAUAUAGUUUAUAAGAACUAAAAAAAUAAUCAAUAUUGAUCAUGUAACAUAAAAUUUUGUAUUAUCAUACAUGUUCAACGCAUAUACUUGCAAGGUGCAUAAAUAUUUUUGUAAAAAGAAUAAAUUAAUAUCUAUCGAUUAUAGAAAAUAUAUAUUUAUUGAAAUAAUUUAUUAUGAGGUACAAAAUAGAGAUCAAAUUAGAAAAUUUUUAUUAACACAUCACUAGUUACUAGAUACACAUUUCAUUCUUAACACACCACCUAUUGACUUUAUUUUUUUAACAUUUUACUAGAUACAUAUACCUAACCUUCCUACAAUACCCUUAUUUAAAAUACAUCACUUAUUCACUAAAUACACAAUCCAUUCACUAAAUACACAGAUUUUUCUAGAUCUGCUACUCAAUUUAUUUAAAAAAAGAAAAAGAAAAAAAAGAGGAGUAUAUUAUAUAAAGCAUCAUCCCAAGUUCUAGUUUGGUGUUCAGCUUGAACGACCUAGCAUGUGUGAACAGUAAAAUCUAAAUUUCAAACUUCAAUUUAUACUAUCGAUACUAAAACUUUGAUCAUUUAAUAUUUGCUAAAUUAAUAACCUCGAUUAAAUAAUAUUUUUUGCCAGCCUCGAAAUAAAGAAUUAGCAAAAUUGACGUCAAUAAAUUAACAAUCUCAAUUAAAUAAUAUUUUUUCCCGGUUCCGACGUUAUUAAUUUAUAGAGGUUUAAAAUAUAGUGUUUGGUAUAUUCACAUACGUUGUUCUCAUAUAGAACAAGAAAACUUUUAAGUGGGAUAUUUAUUUCAAUAAGUCUUCUUUAAUUACUUUUGAUAUGAAUAUCUCUUUUGGUAAUUUUAUGUACCUACAAAGUUUUAUAUAAUUUGUAUAAAAAAAGAGGAGUGCGGCUAUUGGGACCUCCAAAUUUGCUCAAUAUACCUCUUAUGCUCUUUACACCUUCUUUUUAAUUUUAACUAUAAGCAUUUACUCACUAGACCUCCUUUUAAAUUCCUAACAUAACCUUAGUAUGUUAUUCACAUAUAUCUUGAUAAUUUACUCAUUAUACAUCUUAUUUAUUCUCUAGACCUCUCAUUAUUUUAAUUUUUUUCUUUUUGCAUGCUAUCAUCGAGACCUCUAUUCCUUGAUUUUUUUUUCGUUCAAACCUCUUUCACGACCUCAAUUCCUUGAUAUUUUUUAUUUCCCAUAGAAUGUCACCAAACCUCCAUUAUUUGAUCAAUUUGUAAGAAAAAAAUUUCAAUGACGUCAAUUUUUCUCUUAAAAAUCAAAUAAUACAAAGUAUUGGGUUUCAAAAACUUAUAUUUAUCAGCCCAGUACCGUCUCUCCUUAAAAAUGAGAGGUCGUGAGUUCGACUCAUAACAGACUCGUUAUAGCAUAUUGGUUGUUUAUCUGAUAAAAAAAAACUUAUAUUUACCAACAAGAAAAUAUUCCAACAUAAAUUAGCUUUUCUUUUUUUAUUUUACUUGUGCUAAACAACAAUCAAGGAUAACAAUUGUAUACUAUGUAUGUUCUUUUUUUCCCUCUAUUUUAUGUACAUUAAAUUAUUUCAAUAGUUAUUUAAUCUUUCAUCAUCGAUUUGUUUUAUAUACCUUCACCAUGUAUAUAUAUGCUUUCAACAUGUAUGAUAAUAGAAAAUUUUAUGUCACACGGUCGAUAUUGAUCAUAGUUCUAGCUCUAAUUAAAUAUAUAAUAUGUAGUAAAAUUUAGAAAAUAGUAAAUUAGAAACUAAAAAUAUAUAAAGAAAAUAAUAAAGAAUACAAUCAAUUAAUUAUCGAAUUGGAAAGUCUAGAGAGAAUAAAUAUACUUAUUUUUAUAUGAUUAUUGUCCUUAAUAGUCAUUACGUAAUAAGAGAUAAUUGUCAUUCAAUAACUCAUAACAAAGGGAGGUCAAGUGAGCAAAUUUGGAGGUCCCAAUAGCCGCACUCAAAAAAGAGAUGUGUAUAUAGCAUUUAGAUAUGUGUUAAUAAAAUUUCUCAUCAAAUUAUUCAAAAGAAAAAAAAUGUAGAAAAAAAUAACACAUACAAAAGAGAAAAACAAUUAAAAAGAUAUAUAGAAUAAUUCAUAAUAGAACAUUUUCUUGCAUGAAAAAAAAUAAUCAAAAAAUGAAGGUAGGGAUAAUGGAUGUUGAAAAACAAGGGAAAAAAAAACAAAACAAAGAAUGAGAGGUCUAUUGAGUGAAUAAGAGGUAAUUAAUUGAUUGAAAUAUAUGUUAAUAAAUAACUAUGAUUAUGUUAGGAAUUUGAAAUAAGGUAUAGUGAGCAAAUGUUUAUAUUGAAAAAUAAAAAGGAGGUGUAGAGAGAAUAAGAGGUAUAGUGAUCCAAUUUGGAGGUUCUAAUAGCCACACUAUUUGUACUUUGGGGCAUACAAGAACUUUCGACCCACAUUUACAUGUCCAUUUAGACACAAUUACAUGUCCGGGUGGUAUAUAAUGUCCAGAUUGCUUAACGAGUAAACAGCCCGACAUCAACAUAUUGGCCGACUGGUUGGAUAAUGGGUUAGGCAUGAGACAGGAUGAGACACAAUGAGACGGGAUUUGGCUAAUCCUGCAGCUCGUUCCUGACACACGUGGGACGGGAUCGAGACGAGAUCAGAACGGACCUUACAUUUUUCAAAUUUGAUUCUGCCCAAUCCUGGUCUUAGACGAGAUCAGGACGGGACAAGCCCAAUCCCAAAACUGAAAAAAAAAAAUCCUAAUUACCAUGUUAAGUUUGAUGUAAGAAUCCAAUAUCCCAAAAUCCUAGUAACCUAAUUCUACAUCAGGAACACAACUACAUAUGUACAUAACAUCCAUGAUGUCUAUGAUAGGAAUCCAAUAUCCAAUACAUCAUUAUAGUUUAGUCACAAUAUACUUGAUUUGAGACAAAUAAGGUCAAAGUUAAACUUUUAACAAUAUCAGUGAUAUGAUUCAAAGUUUAAACUUUUGAGCACUCAAAAUUUUAGUCCAAGAUAUCCAAAAAGUGACUUCGUCUUGGAGCAUAUUCAACAACUUUCUCAUAAAUAAAACCUCAAGGAUAAUAUCCCUAGCAUUGCUAAAAGUGAGAGAAAAAAAUGCUCUCUCUAUGCCCUCUCCUUCGAGAGAUUUCUCGACGGCAACCAGUUCUGACUGGUACUGGCUUUGUAUCUUCGAUUGUGAGAAGGAUCUCUUCCUCUUUCUCUCGUCAAAUCUGUGGGGGUGCUCGUUGGUCCUCCCUCUAUUCAAGUUUCAAUGAUUUCUCUUCUCCUUCUGUUGGGAAGACUGAUGGUGGCGCCGAUUCUUUCUUCGUGAAUUGGAUCUGGGGUUGCUUUGGACAGGAGAUGAUGUCAAUGUAUGUGGCAUCUGAGGGUGUUGGAGUGCUUGAUGAUGGUUGGAAGUAUGUCUUUCUUUUUGCUUUCAAGGUGAGAGUCGCUGAGAUCGAUGCAACGGUGGGCAAGCCUUGUGUGGUGGAUCAAGAUGGGAACUACUCGACGAUGUUGUGGGACAACGACGCAUGUAUUGUUGCCAACGGUGAAUGGAAACCUGGAGAUCCCUUUCUCCCUCCUCACAUCGUCACCAUUGAUGUUGGCGAGGUGUUAGGAGGGCGACUUUAUCUCUCUGGUUUGGCCGAUGAGGGUGGGUCUCACAAUGGAUCGGCAAUGGCGGCGGCUCAUGGGAGUGGUGUCGACGGCGCUGCAGGCUGCAUGAUGACUGCUAGGGUUUCCUUCAAGGCCAUAUUGGCUGGGUUUUGUUUGGCUUGAGUAUUUAUUUUGUUUUUUUAAGUUAUUUCUUUUUUAGGUUCAUAUUUCACGAAAAGAUAUUGCGCAUACAUUUGAUUAUGUUACCUGGAGCGAGAGAGAUCGUAAAGAAAAUAGAGACUUGGUGGUCCUUUAAUUAGGGUUUAUAUUUUAUUAGCCGGGCUCUAUAAUUUCUUUGUUUUAGGCUUCAUACAAAAAGAUGGGUGUACUAGGAGAUUACUAGUAUAGUUUGCUCUUUUUUGGGUAGAUUUGUAGUAAUUUCUACGGAACGGUUCAAUCUGUCGCCCUUACUGAGAGGAAUUGUUUUUGUACUAUUUGCUGAGCUAAUAUAGGAUGACCUCUUUUGAUUAAAAAUAAAAAACAACUUUCUCAUUAUUUUUCUAAAAUGGGAAAACAUAUGUUUUAUUUUUCUCAACUUAUGUUGCGAAGCAUAAAUUCUCGAACGUCAUUCAAUAUUCUUCUCUAAUCCUUUUUUUUUCUCUGAAAAGAUCUAAUCCUUUUUUUGUGGAUGUGAUUUUUCUAGCACGGUGUUCCUCCUUGUAGCUGUAGUUAUCUUCAAUAACUUCAUUGUGGCACAAAGAUGACCAAAUCUCGAAAUAGCUCUCUAGCAAGUGCAAUACUGCAAUUGAGGUAACCCAAUAAGGACUUUUUUACAAUAUAUAUGUAUAUAUCAUACAUCAAACCAUGAAUUAUCCGAUCGUUUUAAAUUUUAAAUUACUAAUCGGACGAUUCACGAUAUGUUAUACAAAUAUGUAUAGAAACCGAACUCAUGUAAUAAACUUCCCUUUCUCUUUUGGAAGGCUUUUUCAUUUGGAAAACAUCACUGUCACACAAAAUCGAAUGAAGAUAUAUAUAAUAUAAUUAUAUUCCACAAGCCAUGAGGCUCACCACCAAACCUGAACACAAAGGUCCUGUCUCCAUCGACCGAUUACAAAAAUACUGGUAAACAACAAAGAGCAUUGUUUGAUUCAACUGUUGAACUAGAACCCAUCAGUUUGAACAUUACAGACCAACAAAGAUCGAACAGAGCUAGCCAGCUAAGAAUGAAGUAUUCUAUCAGUAUCAGAACCACAGCUAGCUCCCAAUCCAAGACUAGUGGAGAUCACAAGCCCGAUUGGCCUGAAAGAAAACCUGGGCCUGACGGGCCGCCGCCCUCUCCGACACCAAGCCCUGAAUGACCCUCGUCUUCACCUCCCACGCCGUGUACGGGAACCCUUUCCUGGCGUACGAGUUGAUCAGCGCCGCGCUCGCCUCCUUGAGCAGCCUAGGGAACACGUUCUCAUCGUCGUUCCUGGCCGUCGCUUCCAUCAGCGUCAGAUCGGAUCUGUAACGUUCGUAGGCUCUGGACCCGAACACCUUGGACACCGUCGAGGUCUGCGGGACCAUCCUCGGCCAUGACUCCACUCUGCUGCCCCAGUAGUCCGGCGUGCACCGCCCAGUGGUUCGAGUGAAGAGAAAGCCUGGCCUGGCUGUUGCGGUUGUAGCUAGAAGAAGAAGAAGAAGAGUGAGGUGAGUCAGUUGAGAAGGACGAGCCAUGGUGGUGAUGUGAAACUGAGAUUUGGUUAACUGGGGACCGGUUGGGAUCUGAGAAUGUUUUCAAACUUGGGUGUUUAACUGGACUCUCACGGUCUCACCCACCAUGUCUUCUCGUGUUUUCAUGCACGUGGGGGCUCUGGUUCGGUUCUCGAUACAAGUCGUUUGGACUAGAUUGCCCCUGGUUUUUUACCCGUUCGACGCAAAAGCGGAGGGUUAUGUGGUCUUUUCGAGAAAAGAGGCUCCUAAAGAGAGUUUAGGAACUUGGAGAUGGUGGUUGGUUCUUGGUUUCAUGGAGAUGGAGUUUUGAAUGGAGAGAAAGACACGACAAGUGAGGAAGGUUCGUACUUACGUGGCUUCUUCAAAGGGGAAAGUCCGAUGGACUGUGUUCUAUCUUGGGGCUUGGGUAAUUUUGAUUCCUAAUUAGAUAUUUAGAUUUACUUUUGGUUGUUGUGGGUAAAUUUUGUUGGUGAUCACCUAACAAAUUAACAUGUAUACUUGUGUAGACAGUAUAGGUAAAGAUCAGCUUUUUUCACUCCCCUUUUCUUUUUGAAUAGAAAGAUCAGAUUUUUAACACUGAGGUAGUGUAAUUUCAUAGAGUUUAAACUGCAACAUGACAGUAACUUAUACAAUUUCAUAGUUGAGUUGAUUUGAUGAAUGAUAAAGCGAAAUAAAUGUGUUCCUAAUAUUCAACCCCCAUAGUAAGUUGUGCAGUGGCAUUGAGGCGAUCAAGUUGCUUAACUGGACCCAACUACUUCAGUCACAUUUGCAGAAUUGCAGUUUGCUAUUGAUAUAAAAUGCUCAUAUUAUCUCUUAUCUUUGAGAAGCCUCAAACAAAAAGCGUCUGUAGCUCAGUGGAUAGAGCGUCUGUUUCCUAAGCAGAAAGUCGUAGGUUCGACCCCUACCUGACGCGAUUGAAUGUUUUCAUUUUUCUCAAUUUUUUUGUUCACAAUUUUCUUUUCAUUUUGGAGAUCAAACCUCAUUUUGAAGAUCAAACCUACUUGCAAGGGAAGCUGCACUACAAAAUCUUCCAGCUGCACUACAAAUCUUCCUGUCCAUGAAUUGCUUAACAUUCUACUUUCCUUUAUUAAUCGAAAUAGUGACGCUUUCUUACAAAACCAAGAAGCAGAGAAAGAAAAGAUAAACGCUUAGCCCUAAGAGGAACUUGAUGAACUCAAUACAAGGGUCUCCUGCCUGUUGUACUUGAGCAUCCUGGCCUCUUCUUGAGAAAUUUGGUACGCAUUUACUAGCACAUCAUCCGGCAGUGCUCUCAAGACUGAGGUCCAGCCAGCCAUUGUGUUGAUGAUCGCGUUGUCCUGCGUCUUGAAUGCUAUGUAUUGGAAUCCCUGAUUGUCAAUAGCCUUCUGCAAGACUGCGUGGUUUUGCGGCACUAUAAACAACUGACCCUGGCGGACCUCAUCGUCGAAUAUGGUCUCACCAUUGUCAUUCACCACUUGUACCCUAGCACUUCCUCUGAUCACGUAGAAUAUUUCGUGUGCCAAGAGGUUCCAAUGUGGGCUAUAGAUGGCAUUCUGCAACACAUUUACAUCACACAUAUCAUCAUCACAAUUACACUAACAGAAGAUGAUCGACUAGCUACAUGAACAAAAUGUAAUGUAUACAAGGACUCACAUUGUACAAGAAACCCGUCUCGGCGCUGAGGGACAUUUGCUUAAGGAUGGGCAUAUCAUUGCUGUUGAGGAUAUUGAUGCGACCAGCUUGUGGCGUGUAAAUGUCUGCACGUCUAGGGUCACCAAGGUACUGUUUUAGAGCAAUGUUGCACAAUGACUCCCCAAGACCAUUGUCAUGUCUUCCCUGCAGUCCUUGCUGCUCAUCUUUUUGUUCCUGUUGGGUUCGCUGCCAAUGUGAUGACUUAAUUGGAGGGUGGAGAAAACCAAAUUUUCCCUCCACUCUCACGAUUUGGCUUCGUUGUUGAUCAAUCUGGCCAUGAACUUUCAUGGCAGUUUCAAUGUCCACAUUGAGAGCGUCUGCAAGUAGGCUAGUGUCAAAGCCUGCGAAGAUGUUAUUGUUGUAAUUUGAUCCCUGACCCGAGUGGCGUCUCUGCUCAUAACUUAUGCCUUCCCCUUCUUGUUGGUUAAACUCAUCCUCCUGACUUAUGUCUUCCCCUUGUCGGUUAAACUCAUCUUCCGGGUUACCAGCAAGAUAGAAUCUCUAUAUACAUAAAACACCAAAAUAGGCAACAGUAAUUGGCAUGCAAUAACUAUACAUAUGACGUUAGAAGUAGUAUGAAAAUACAUAUAAGAGUGCAUGGAUGCUUCCCAUCUAAUGAAAUGAGCAUCAUAUAUAGUUUACUUUUCAAGAAUUAUCCAAACAAAAACUCAAUCUUCGAAACACUUGGUUACGUUUCAUUAGAUAUUGAUUUAGUGCUCAUUCUUUUCAGUUUUCACCAUCAUCCAUGAGUUAUUGAACUAUAUAUUUGUUGUUCUUCUCUUAAUUUUUUUAGGCACAUUGAACUAUAUUUCAAGUUAUAUGGUCUAUAUUCUAGACAUGCAUGCAUGUAAUUGUAGUUCUUCAUUAACCCUAAAGUUAUUUGUGACUUUAACUCUGGCUAGCUAGAUCCAUUACCCUCGGGUUUCGAUCAAGCUGGUUAAGGUCGUUGCAGAUGUCUAGAAGACUAACGGCGACGAGGGAUGAGUUGCCAUUGUUGUGCACCCAGUGGACAAUCCCAGGAGGAAUAGCAAUGAUGUCACCUUCUCCAAUGAACCGAACCUUCUGGUGGCGUUCUAAAUCGUCGAAGCCUUGUCUUUCUUCUUGUACUUGUUCAGAGCCUUGAGACAAUUCGAACGUCUCCGGACAGCCAGGCAAUGCAGUCAUCAUCACACCCCAACCUGCACAUAACAUUUUCAUGUCCAUUGCAUCAGUUUAGUAACUAUUCAUUAUCUGAUUCCUACUUAAUUCUCUUUUUUGACAUAUACACACACGCAUAUACCUUUGACGAUGUACAUGAGUUGAGGGGAAUGUGUGUAAGAAGGCAAGUGAAGGCCAUUGGGUUCAAUGGUGAUUCGCUGAGCCGCGACGCCGGCGCACUGAAAGUCAUUCUGGUAGUGAUCCCAUGACUCAAUCCGACCAGCUUCACACUCGAUCUGAAUAUCGGGUUCGCGGGCUUGGAGUUGAUCGAUUUGGCACUGAUUUUGCUUGAUGGGUUCAAACUGCGGAUCAGCUGCUAAGCACCCGUAUUGGGAGAGGACAUGAAGGAGUACCAAGCAAAGAGGAAUAGCAAGCUGUAAGGGCUUAGCCAUUGAUAUAUGCAAGAGCAAUUAAGGAGGAGGAGAAGCAGAGUAGAGCUUAUAUAUGGAGGAGGAGAUGAGGCAGAGACGACACGUCUUGGCCAUACUUAUCUUUGCAUGGACAUUAAUACUUCAUGUUGUUACACCUCAUCCUGUCUUUUAGAGCAGGUGGCUCUUGGUAUAGUUCUAGAGAAAGAUACAAAUUCAACACAUAUGCAUGCAAUAUAUGGUUUUGCUUUCAGUAAUUUCUGACGAUUAUAAGAAGCUGGAAACUGAGAACGAAUUUUAAUGGCUAGAAUUAGUUCCAAUAUGUGUAUAUAUGGAAGAAAUGAAAGAAGUGCACGUUCUAAACUUCAAAUUUAAAUAGCUAAGCGGUAGUGUCAUUGAUUAAUUGAUACAUUUAUGGACUGAAAUCUCAUUGCUUUCAGUCGAAUCUAGGUUCUUAGUUUGCUGUUUAUGACUCAUUAUUAUUGAUGAAGUUGUAUUGCGACAUAAUAUUCGUUUUACAUUAAGAGAAAUUUUAAAUACACACCCCUAAUCUCUUAAUACACACCUCUAUUAUUUUAUGUUUCUAUUAAGAUUUUAUAAGUAAAUUAAAUGACUAAAACAAACAUCUCUUAUUAAAAAAAAAAAAAAGCGCUAGAAGUAUUCUUUUCAAUAUCUUUUACCCUAAAAUCGUUGAAAGUACGUCUUCUCCCAUAACCCCAACUCUUCUCCACAAUNNNNNNNNNNNNNNNNNNNNNNNNNNNNNNNUUCUUUUUUUUUUUUUUUUUUAUCUGUAUCAGCUUUAGUUUGAUCUUGCAUAUCAUAUUCUCAAGUACUGCAUCUUUAUCAUGACAUGUUUUAUCGAAUAACUAGAUAUCUAUGUUUAAUAGCUACUUCUACACUUCUACUAUCUUGUGAAUUUUGAAAAGUUGUAUCGAUGAUUUGGAGUUGAGAUAUAACAAUAAUCAUUUGAUUAUAAAUUGAACAAUGAUAAUAAAAAAUUUCUAACAAAAAUUAGACGAAAUAAUAUGUAAAAAGAGGUAUCAAAUAGUAAAUAUUGAUUAAUUAUAUUAAAUAAUGAAAUAUUUCAUAAAUUAAGGGUAUUUUAGGCAGUUUGAGAUGUGUAUUAAGUAUAAUACUGAAAUGAAAAACUUGAUAUGUGGUGUAUUAAGUAAGGGGUGUGUAUUAAGAUAUUAGGGGUGUGUAUUUAAAAUUUCUCUUACAUUAAUAGAUCGGCACCCAUGAUUUUCAGAAAAAAAAAAAUGCUUUUGAAUAUAGAGUAUGUUCAUGAAAUAUAUAGCACUGCUAGGCAUAAAUAGUUGAUAAAAUACCUUUGCUAAACGAAUCUAGAGUAUUUCCAGUAUCAUUUGGUCUAACGGCGUAAUCUCCUUUUAGUAAGUGGGAGGUUGUGAGUUUGACUCACGAAGUUAUAAUAUUCAAGUUGUUUAGCUGAUAAAAAAAACGAAUCUAUACCUAAAUUUGAUUAGCAAAUCACUUAUACAUCCUUCAAAAAGAUUUAAAACACAAAUAAAUCCACUUGUUUUGUUGUUAAACAAAUAAGGACAAUUUUUAACAAUUAAGGACAAUUUUUUCUCUAUAUGCCAUGUGUCAUGAUUUAAUUUACCAAACUAACCCUACACUAAUUAAAUAUACUUUUAGAAGAGAAAAGUUUUUCCUUUUGAGAUUUUUCAGUAAAUAGAAUACAGUAGUAAUUUUCAAUAAUUUAGUGUGGUAGCAGUUAAUUUUAGUAGAAGUAGCAAUACGUAGUAGCAGCAACAUGAAUCAACAACUUACAAUAACAACACACAACAACAACACACACAGUAGUAGCACACAUCAACAACACACACAGUAGCAACACACAUCCACAACAACAUGCAGUGGCAGUACACGCAAUAGCAGCACACAACCACAACACACGCAGUAGCAGCACACAACAGCACACAAUAGCAACACACAACAGCACACGCAGUAGCAGCACACAACAACACACGCAGUAGCAGCACACAACAACAGGCAGUAGCAGCACACAACAACACGUAGUAGCAGCACACAACAACAGGCAGUAGCAGCACACAACAGCACGUAGUAGCAGCACACAACAACAACACACACAGUAGNNNNNNNNNNNNNNNNNNNNNNNNNNNNNNNNNNNNNNNNNNNNNNNNNNNNNNNNNNNNNNNNNNNNNNNNNNNNNNNNNNNNNNNNNNGAGGAGAAGAGGAAGAAGAAGAAGAAGAAGAAGAAGAAGAAUAAAAAUAAUCGGUGUGUUUCUCAUAUUUAAAAAUGGUGGAGAAGUGAUAUUUUAAGUUAGUGGCAGUUUUGUAGAUAUUUUAAAAAAUAAUGAUUUUUUAGGUAUUUUGCAUAAAAAAUUGCUGACAGGACGUGGUACUAUACACUGUAGGCCUAUAUAUAUGUCCUUAUUUGUUUAAAUAUGUUGAAAUAUGGUUUUUCUGUGUUUUGCAACUGUUUAUGAUAGCUAUACAGUAGGCCUAUAUAUAUGUCCUUAUUUGUUUAAAUAUGUUGAAAUAUGGUUUUUCUGUGUUUUGCAACUGUUUAUGAUAGUGGGAUGUUAUUUUCUAAAAUUUGAUCAGACUAUAUUAAAUUCUUGCUAUUGAAACAUAGGACCUCCCAUAUUUACUUUUUGCAGUUAUGCUCUUUGAAUUGCUAAUGGUAUGGAUUUGAUACGAUGUGGUUAUUGGUCAUGCAAGUUGGAUCAAAACCAUGUUAAAAAGAGAGCUCACUGAGAACAAAAGAUUACAAGAUGGAUCAAAACCAUGUUAUUUUCUAUUUACAACGGUAGAUUUCUCCUCUUACAACACAGCCAUACAAGGCCGUUUUUAUUCUUUGUACCAUGCAAAACUCCGUGCCGCAUUACGUUUUUACAUCUCAUCAUGCAUUCAUUUAAGCAAUAGCCCUCUGGGACUCGGAAGACCUUGAAGAGCUCAAAGCAACAGUUUCCUGUCUGUUGUAUUUGAGAUUCCUUGCCUGUUGUCGGUCAAUCUGGUACGCAUUAGCAAGGACACCGUCCGGGAGUGCACGCAAGACUGAGGUCCGGCCAGCCAGAGUGUUAAUCUUGGCAUUGUCCUGGGUCUUGAAGGCAAUGUACUCGUAGCCAUUGUUGCUAGCCUUCUGUAACACUGCGUGGUUCUGUGGCACAAUGAAGAGCUGGCCCUGGCGGACCUCGUUGUCCAAGAUGGCCUGGCCGUUGUUGUUCACAAUCUGAACCCUAGCGCUACCUCUAAUGACAUAGUACACUUCAUGAGCGUUCAAGUUCCAGUGGGGGCUGUAGAUAGCAUUCUGCAUGUAGAAGACAAUUAAUAAGAUACUUACAUGAGCUCAAACAACUAAUCAGUUACUUGAAAUUGACAAAUAUUGAGUAUACUUACGUUGUAGAGGAAGCCUCUCUCAGCGCUGAGGUCAAGGUGCCUGAGAAUAGGCAACUUAAAACUGUUGAGCGUGCUGACGCGACCGGCUUGGGGACUGAAGACAUCGGCGCGUGACGGCCUGCCAAUAUUCUCUUUGAUCCUGAAGUUGCAGAAUGUCUCCUCAAAACCAUUCUGUCCUUGUUGCCCCUGUUGUCUCUGAAUUCCCUGUUCUCGUCUUUCCUCCUGUUGUGACUCUGGUGGCUGGAUGAAAUCGAGACGUCCUCUAACUCUCACGAUUUGGGGUCUGUUGUCUUUCUGUCCCUGAAGCUGCUGGGCAGUCUGUUGGUCAAUGUUCAAAGCAUCAGCGAGGAGCUGUGUGUUGAAGCCUGCAAAGAUGUUGUUGUUUCCUUGUCGUUGUUGUUGCUGGUGCCUGCUCCUUCCUCCUUGCUGUUGCUGGUGCCUGCUCUUUUCUCCUUGCUGUUGCUGGUCCUGGUCCCAUUGACUUUGGCCUUCCGCUUGUUGUCCACGUCCUUGCCGUCCUCGUUGCCUUUGGCUUUGCCCGUGUUGGUUAAACUCAUCUUGUGGAUUACCCGCUAGAUAGAAUCUCUAUACACAUAACAAUAGUACAAUACAUGUAUGUGAUCUGCAGUCAGCAAUGAUAACAAGUAAUCUACCAAUAAAUAUGCAAAUAUAUUUGGGGGUGUAAAUGGACAGUGUGCUCAUUAGUAGAUAUUUAAUUUACCCUAGGGUUACGAUCAAGCUGGUUUUGGUUGUUGCCGAUGUCAAGAAGACUGACAGCAACAAGAGGUUGAUCACCGUCAUUGUAGGACCAGUAGGUGACUCCGGCAGGAAUAGCAACAACGUCACCUUCUCUGAUGCGUCGAACCUUCUGGUGUCUGUCUAGCUGUUCGAAGCUUUCUUGUCCCUGUUGGCCUUGCUGGCCUUGUUGUCUAUGACGGCCAUGCUGUCCACGGUCUUGCUGCUCUUGUUGUUCACGGCCUUGCUGUCCAUGACGCCCUUGCCAUUGUUGUUGACCCUGUUGUUCUUCAUCAGAUUGUUCUGAUUCUUCAAAAGACUCAGGACAGCCAGGGAAUACAGUAGAUAGAAAACCAUUUCCUGCCGUAAUUAUAUGAAUAUAUUACACACCAUAUACAGAUACAUAUUAAUACAUAUCCAACAUUUAUAAUAUUAGAUAGAAAUGGUUCCGGUUACACAGUACCUUGGACAAUAUAUAUGAGCUGUGGUGCGUGGGUGUAAGAAGGCAAGUGAAGGCCAUUUCUUUCAACAGUGAUUCGUUGAACAGCAACACCAGCACACCGGAAGUCGUCCUGGUUGUAGUUCCAGGACUCGAUCCUACCCGCUUCAGUCUCAAUGCGGUUAUCAGGUUCGCGGGCUUGGAUCUGAUCAAGUUGGCACUCAUUCUGCUGGCUCGACUGAGAUUGUUGGCGCGCUGCUAAGCAGCUGUGGAAGAGGACAAGCAAGCAAAGAGAAAAGGCGAGAGCUAUAGGCUUAGCCAUAGUGUUGAUCAGAUAAGUAUAUAGCUUGUCGUGGUGAAGCGGCGAGUAGAAGGUGUGGUAUUUAUACUUUUAUAGGAUAGAGAAGCUGAAGAGGGAAGGAUAAGUACAACAACGUACAUCUGUAAAUAGUCUGAAGCCAUUCUUAUCUUUGCAUGGCAAAAGCAUUUCACAUUCUUACACCUCAUUUCUCCCAGGGCAGGUGGCUCAUGGCUUCAGAGAAGAUACAAAGUGCCUAACAAGGUGGGGUUUUGCCAUGAUUGUCUGCAAGUGAAGCGAAAUUCUACUGCCUUGAACCUGGUCCAAUAAAGAGCAAAAUUUAUGAGAGGACUAAGAUAUGUUCUUACCAGUUUUAGUAAAAUAGUAUUACAUCAGCACCAACCUGAUGAACAUCUUCUAUAAUGUAGGCAAGGUUCAAAAAUGGCUGUUCUUAUCUUCCUAGUAGCCAUCCAUACUCUGUCAUUUUAUGAGUCAAAGUUUAAUAUUUAAAACUUAUGUAGACAUUCCAACAAUAAAACUUAAAAGUUCUUAACUCUAGUUGGUAAUACUUUGACACGUCAAACUUCUUUGAUUUCUUCCAGAAGCAUAAGCAUCUGGUUCUCACGUUGCUAAUCACUUCACCUAUCUAGUUUUCCUACCAAAAAGAAUCUGAUAUAGAUAGAAAAGUUAGCCAUAAAUGUAGGACUUACUGUGAACAAUGUCCCAAUUCCAACCUCAAAGAUUAGAAUCUAAAAGCUCGUAACUCAAAAUUAUACAACAUCAUUAUAUUCACAAUAAAAAGUACUCUGACAUAAGGUUUAGUUCAGUUUAGUGCUUCUUGAAAAAAAAGAUGAAGACUUCAACUGUUCUACAACAUAAUUGUCUAUAUCUAUACUCAAAAUGAUCAAUAAUCGUUUAUCCUACCAUAUUUCUUGUAUGGAAUAUCUUGUUACAUUUUGUUUUCAUAGCAAAAUGUUGCAAUAUUUGAGUGAUAGAUACACUGCCAACAUGGUGUACAAGUUCCACAGCCAAGAUUUUUGGGCUCACGACAACUCUUAAGGCUUAAGAACCAGUAAUGCAUGGUUGAACUAGGGAGCAGCCAUUGCUGAAGGCUCCUCCUCAAAACGAUCCAUUGCUUUAUUACCCCAUGGUUGGAAAACCUGCCAACAGUCAAAAUUUCCUCUUCCCCCGCAGUCGAUAUUUUCUCAUCUCAAUAAAUUUUAUUCAUCCAAAACAUAAAUCCUUUUGUUUAAGUACCCGCCAGUAUAUCUAAUAUCUGUGACAAGCCGAGUGCUGACAGCUGAUAUUUUAAAACUUGGGAUUCCCUAUAGCCCCUCUCAUUAUAACCCCUCUAAUGUUAAAGCUUCUGCUAAAGACACAUCUCUAGUUCCUCGAGCUAAUGCUACAUCCGCAAUGCAAUUGUUCCCAUGCAAUGAUUAGCCAGAGGAAAACUCGAGGAGCUCCCUUGACUCUGAUCAAUUUAGCCUCAAGUCUCGAACUUGUUCUUUGAAAGUCAGUGAAGAGGCUACUUCUUUAACUGGUGAUGGUGCUCAACCAAUGUUAAGCCAGACAGAGGAUAGUUAAGUGAAUCUGGUCGGGAAGACCUAAAAAGAGCAAAACUUCUUGCUUUCCCUUGCUACACAACGAGUACUACUAAAAGGUCGAUUCCAACAAAAGAGCUCAGGAUGUUGUUAUUAAUGGGGUUGGGACUUGAGUUCUCGGGUGGGAAUGUGAAGGUGCAGCAGUUGCUUUGCAACUCUACUUUACUGUCCUUGUCCAAGCUGAUAAGGGUGGGACGACAUUGAACGGCCUUAUUUACAGGUCCUCUAUAUAUUGGAAUACUUGACUGUCUCAGAAAGGACUUGCCAAGUGAUUCCCUAAUUCUAAUGCUCAGACCUCGGCCUAUUUGAAAUGUCUGAUAGAAACUAGUUUGAGGAAUAAUUAGCUUCUUUACCUGUGAGUACAUGUUUCUAUGGAAGGUUUCUGUAAUGCUAGCUUUCCUUCUGCUAUAAGGAAGGUGACCAAGCUUUUAAUCCUAACACCAAAGUUAAACCUUUUCCAAAGAAAGGGGGUCAAAACCUGUAGAAUAUUAUGUAACAGGUUGAACCUAACACAUAAAGUUCAGCAAUCAUCCAUGAUCCAUCUUCUAUCAUAUUUUUACUGAACCAAAGAUUAAGUAAUCAACACUGGCAGUUGUUUAUGUAAGUUAUUCUGAUAAAGAAAAAAGAUCCAUCACUACCCUUAAACUUAUUGUGCCACAAAACACAAAUGACUUCAAUUGUUCCUAUCGCAUAGAAACCAAACUUUUGUCAUUGUUUCUUGGAAUUAUUCUGUACACAUCACUUCUGUGCAAUCAUGCACAAAAUAGAAUCAAAAUACCAUGACAAUGACAAAGGGUUUAAUUCAAUUUGGCACUUCUUACCAACACUAUGCUCCUCCAAAUGGUCCUCAUAGUCAAAGGGACUUCCCCAUAUCCCUUGUUCCAAAAUUAGCUUCUUUACCCAGAAUCAAUCAUCCUACUACGCUCAAAAUAUCUAAUUUCUCAAUACUCUACUGAUUCAAUUGAGUUGAAGACAAAGUAGACAACAAUUAACAGAUCAAAUGUGAAAGUACAUAAUUCAAUAGACUCACGAUUGCUGAGUUGCAGGUCACUGGUUGUGGUGUGUCUGAUCAGCAGGAGCUACGUUUCAAGCACGCCCUCGUGAAGCAAUCUCGUCCCCGACGCGACCUCUGGUAGUCGGAAUAUGCGGCCGGAUAACAUGAUCCGGCGAUCCCGUCUUUCACAUUGUGUUUGGUUGGACAUUGGCGGUUCCAGCAGUUCAGUUACUAUUGGUCUUCACCCUCUCAGCGCUCAACCUCUUCUAGUCUCUCCUUUUAUUCUUGUACUUGUCAGUUGUCACAGUUGCUAUCUAUGUGAUUGUUCCACGUGGAUUUUAUUUUCCUGCAAAUUCCCAAAUUAAUUAUUAUUUUGUCCAAAAUUUCCAGAUGAAUUGUUUGUUGUCUUUGAUGUUUUUUUUUCUUUUGUAAAAAGAUCGUAUGACCCCUUAUAUGGAUAUUUUCAGGAGACUUCUUGCCGCCUUCACGCUGUUCACGUUCCACAUACAUAUAUACAUGCAGCUCAACAUGCUUUUUCACCAACUUCACUGAGUUCUUUGAUGAUUCUAAUCAUUCGAUGGAAUCACAAAAUAGUUAGUUUAUACAACAGAGUUCGUGAGCUGCUUAUUUUAUAGUUUAAUUUUGGCGUGACGUCAUUAGUUAAAGCUCGACGAAGCAUGCUGUUUUUCUUUUCUAUCAAGAGCGUGAUUAGCUGGUUUGGAAAUUUCAUUUCUAUUUUUCUCGUUCUUAUUGAGAGUCAAACUUUGAAGAAAUGAUAGUCAAACUUCGAAGAAAUGAUUGGAGUCAAACCUGAUGAUUACAGACAAGGGGUGAGCUGCUGAUAUGCAAUUACAGCCAAAGCAAAUUACUGACUUAAAUCUAAGGGGCAAAGCUUCACAAUUUAGAUAAAACACCAACUCACCAAGUAUAGUUGAGGCAAAAAGAAAAUUCAUUUAACGAGAAUAUGACUACAAGAACGUAGUAGCUCGUUAUUUACUAGUUUGUACAUAAGAUCUCAUAUCUUCCGAAGAUGCCAUAUAAAGGCCAUUUUUAUUCACUCUACCCUUUAGCUCGCUGGUACCAUAUUCACUAGCUUAUUCACCGCACAAAAAACACUACGUGCGCAUUACAUACAUAUUCAUACUCAGACAAACAUCUCAGCAAUAUCCAACCAGUUCCUGUGGGAUCGAGGAGACCUUGAUGAGCUCAAAGCAACAGUCUCCUGCCUGUUGUACUUGAGAGUCCUUGCCUGUUGUCGAUCAAUCUGGUAUGCGUUAGCGAGGACCACGUCAGGGAGUGCCCGCAAGACUGAGGUCCGGCCAGCAAGAGUGUUAAUCUUAGCAUUGUCUUGGGUCUUGAAAGCAAUGUAUUCGAAUCCAUUGUUGCUAGCCUUAUGCAACACUGCAUGGUUCUGUGGCACAAUGAAGAGCUGGCCCUGGCGGACCUCGUUGUCCAAGAUGGCCUGGCCGUUGUUGUUCACAACCUGAACCCUAGCACUACCUCUAAUGACGUAGUAGACUUCAUGGGCGUUCAAGUUCCAGUGAGGACUGUAGAUAGCAUUCUGCAAGUACCACAAACAAGAUUAGUAAUCAUAAUCAAUAACCUCAAUUGAUUCAAAAGGACCUAUAUCGUUGAUUAUAUAUACUUACGUUAUAGAAGAAGCCUCUCUCAGCGCUGAGGUCAAGGUGCCUGAGAAUAGGCAACUUAAAGCUGUUGAGGGUGCUGAUGCGACCGGCUUGGGGACUGAAGACGUCAGCGCGUGAAGGCCUGCCGAUAUUCUCUUUGAUCCUGAAGUUGCAGAAUGUCUCCUCAAAACCAUUCCGUCCUUGUCCCUGUUGUCUCUGAAUUCCCUGUUGUUGUCUUUCCUCCUGUUCUGACUCUGCUGGCUGAACAAAGUCGAGACGUCCUUUAACUCUCACGAUUUGGGGUCUGUUGUCGUUCUGUCCCUGAAGCUGCUGGGCAGUCUGUUGAUCAAUGUUCAGAGCGUCAGCGAGGAGCUGUGUGUUGAAGCCGGCGAAGAUGUUCUUGUUGUUUCCUUCUUGUUGCUGGUGCCUGCUCCUUCCUCCUUGCUGUUGCUGGUGCCUGCUCCUCUCUCGUUGCUGUUGCUGGUCCUGGUCCCAUUGACUUUGUCCUUGCUGGCCCCGACGACUCUGGCUUUGCCCGUGUUGGUUAAACUCAUCUUGUGGAUUACCAGCCAGAUAGAAUCUCUACAUACAUAACACAUCAUGCAUGUGAUCAGAAAAAACUAGCAAGCCAACAGUAAGAGUGCUAUUGUACCUCCACAAAAGAAAAUAUAUACAUAUCACAUUUGCUAAUUAAUUUACCCUGGGGUUACGGUCAAGCUGGUUUUGUUGGUUGCCGAUAUCAAGAAGAUUGACAGCAACAAGAGGUUGGUCACCGUCGUUGUAGGACCAGUAGGUGACUCCAGCAGGAAUAGCAAUCACAUCACCUUCUCUGAUGCGUUGAACCUUCUGGUGUCUGUCUAGCUGCUCGAAACUCUCUUGUCCCUGUUGGCUGUGCCGCCCUUGUUGUCUAUGACGACUUUGCUGUCCAGGGCCUUGUUGCCCUCGUUGACCACGGCCUUGUUGUUCAUACUCUUCCUGUUCUUGUUGCCCGCGGCCUUGCUGUCCAUGGCGCCCUUGCUGGCCUUGCCACUGUUGUUGACCUUGUUCUUCAUCAGAUUGCUCAGAUUCUUCAAAAGUUUCAGGACAGCCAGGGAAAACAGUUGAUAGAAAACCAUUGCCUACAGGGUAUAAAUGAAUGAUUUUAACCACAUACGUACUUGUAUUCAAAAAAUUUAUACUAAAUUUAACCAAUUGCAUUUAUACAAUACCUUGCACUAUGUAAGUGAGUUGUGGAGCAUGGGAGUAAGAAGGCAAGUGAAGGCCAUUUCUUUCUAUGGUAAUUCGUUGAACGGCAACACCAGCACAUUGGAAAUCGUCCUGGUUGUAGUCCCAGGAUUCGAUCCUACCCGCUUCAGUCUCAAUGCGGUUAUCAGGUUCACGGGCUUGGAGCUGAUCUAAUUGGCAUUCAUUUCGCUGGCUCGACUGAAAUUGUUGGUGAGCUGCUAAGCAGCUCUGGAAGAGGACAAGCAAACAGAGAGAAAAGGCGAGAGCUAUAGGCUUAGCCAUAGUGAUGAUCAGAGAGAUAGCUAGCUAGUUGUGGUGAAGCGGCGAGUAGAAGGUGUGGUAUUUAUAGGAUAGAGAAGGUGAAGAGACAAAAAUAAGUACAAUAACAUUAAAGAUCUGAAGCCGUUCUUCUCUUUGCAUGGCAAUAGCAAUUUACAUUCUUCCACCUCAUUCCUUCCAGGGCAGGUGGCUCAUGACUUCAGAGAAGAUACAAAGUGCUAUGAAUAAGGUGGCAACCAGAAGCGGUUUGCAAUUGUCUGCAAGUGAAGCAAAAUUUUACACCCUUGAACCUGGUCCCAAUACAGGGAAAAAUUAAUGAGAGAAGUCAGAUAAGUUCGUUCUAAAUUUGGUAAAAUGAUAUUACAUCAGCCCCAACCUGAUGAACAUCUUCUAUGAUCCAGACAAGGUUCAAAAAUGUAAGAUCUCAUCGGAAAAAAAAUGUAUGUUAGAUAAGUACUGAAUGAUGUGUCAGGAACCUCAAGACAUUUUUCUAUAUGCAAUUUAUCAUUGUUUCACAUUCUUACAGCUCAUUUCUUUGACCAGGUGGCUUAUGGCUUCAGAGAAGACUCAAAGUGGCUUGAACAAUGUGUCAACCAGGUGGGAAUGACAUGAUUUUCAAAUGCAGCAAAGAUUUACUGCCGUGAAUAAUGCAAAAUUAAUUAUACAAACAAGAUCUAUAGCUGUUCAAUGCAUAGUUUGGAAAAGUAAAAUCAUACCAACACCAACCUGAUAAACUCAUCUAUGAUGCAUGCAUGGUGAAAAAUUAUAACAUUUUCAUCUUUCCUACAGUAAUCAGCAUAGUCUAUCCUUUCAUGAAUCAAAAUUAAUACUUCAAGUCUAUGCACAUAAAAUCUUACUAAAAAUAAUGCAGUUUAGUGGUUUAUAUAAGUUUCUUUGCAAACAAAUCUGAACUCCAUCACUAUUCUUGAAACUACUGUGACCCAUCAACGUUAUUACCUCAGCUAUCAACCAUUCUCAUGUCAUAAAGAUUCAGAAUUUGCAAUAUUACUCCUAGAAGUUCUCUGUUCAUCUACAGAAAGGAGUCUCGUAGAAGCUACUGUUGUGAUAGAAGCUAGGAUAGCUAAUGCUGCAAAAUUGAUCUCCGAGAAGCUAUUGUUGUUAAAAUCCCAUCUCAUAAAAUUUUCUCCUGUUUCAAAAAUUAAAAAAUAUAAAAAAUUGUCUCCCUUUGAUUAAAGCACCCUGAACACCAGAAAUGGUGUCACUUAAAACCUCUCUCAAUCUCCAAGCUAACACUUUUGCGAUAAUUUCAUACAAGCUUGAUAAUCAAGCUGUGGACUUCUGUAGAUGAACAGAGAACUUCAAGGAGAACUACCACUUUUGGACUAAUUUUACAACCAAGACUUUACUUCUACUACUUUGUUAUAAAAGAUUGCAAGGCAUCAAUAGACGAUAUAUAGUUGAUAAGACUGGAUGCAAUCCACUCAAAUGCAUUUCAAAAAACUAUAUUCAAUGAGUAAUUUGAGUUGUUUUUUUCUUCCAACUCAAAAACUUGAACAAACCUCGAUUCUAAUACUCUAAACAAAGAAUUUAACCCGGAAUCGAAAGAUCAAUACUGAAAAACAUAAUCUGAUACAUAAACAUGUGUUAUCAUUUGUAAAACAUCAGAUACAACCUAUUUGCACAAAAUGGGUUACACAUCUCUAACAAAGGCUUAGACUUUAGAUAUCAAAAGAAUUCCAAUUUGUCCUCUUCUACACAAUUCUAACAAAUGCUCAAGUCCUUUAAGGCCUUGUAUUUAGAUGCUAAGAAGAGUAAAAAAUGGGCCUAUUGGCAGGAUUUAAAUUGAAAAUCUUGAUUUAAAAAUGGUUGAAUUCCAGAUCAGUCUACAGAGAAUCUAGUAAUUCUAUGCUUCAAAAACUCAUUUGCCCCUCUUUAAAUCCUCACAAUGUGGGGUUGAUUAGCUUCCUUUAACCAAGAGUAACAUGGUUCUAUGAAAAACAAGCAUUAAUGAAUCAAACAGAGAUCACAACACAAUAACAAAUAGAUCAAACUUUGAAAUCAACUAAUAUUAGACUCCCAAAUUCCAAGUUCAAGUAGGCUGUUGUUGAAUCACGCGUUACCUCGCGAAGCGAGUCUCGCUUCCCACGACGUUGCAUUUCUUGCUCGUCGGCGUAUGACGCCGGAGAAAACGAUUCGGCGACCACGUCUUCCAUUUUUCCCUUCAUUUUCUGAUCCUGGUUUGCUCUCUGGUUUUCUACCUAUUGUGUUGGGCUUUAUUACAUACUUUUGGGUCCUUUUUCCUUUUAUUUUUCUUUUUCUUUCAUUUUAAAAGUCGAAUAGUUUCCUAAUAUUUCGAAAAAUUAAAAGUCGAGUACCUCACAGUAUCUAGUUUUUAUUUGAUAAAUCAGUAUCUAGUUUUUUUUUUUUAAGAAAGAGCUUCUAGUUUUCAUAUUCAUUUGAUAAAUAAAAGUAAUUUUAACCUCUCGUGUGCAUUUAAGUUGUCUAUUAUGGUGAGAAAAGUUUCCUAAAAGAAAACUAUGGUGAGAAAAACAAGAGCAUUCGAAAUGAGAAGAACAUGAAGGUGGAUUUGAGAGGAGCCAAAACGCGAAUCAAAGGAAGAAGAAAGAGAUUUCAUUAGAAAAAAGUGUAACGCGAAUCAAAGGAAGAAGAAAGAGAUUUCAUUAGAAAAGAGUGUUUGAGACUACAAGUAGAGUAGCUAUUUAUUAACUUGUGGCAUUAGAUCUCUCUCCUAGUACCACGAGACCCAUAUAAAAGGCUACUUUUAUUGAUUAUCUACCUCUUAGCUUAGCAAGUACCACAUUAACACUACAUGCCGCUAAAUUUUUCAUUUGCUCCCAUCAGUAUCUCUAGAACUGUGAGGACCUUGAUGAGCUCAAAGCAAGAGUCUCCUGCCUGUUAUACUUGAGGUCCUUGCCUGCUCGCGGUCCAUCUGGUAGGCGUUGGCGAGGACCACGUCGGGGAGUGAUCGCAAGACGGAGGUCCUGCCAGCUAGAGUGUUGACCAUGGCAUUGUCAUUGGUCUUGAAGGCAAUGUACUCGUACCCGUUGCUCUGGGCUUUUUGCAACACGGCGUGGUUUUGCGGCACGAUGAAGAGUUGUCCCUGGCGGACCUGGUCGUCCAAGAUGGUCUCACCGUUGUCGUUCACCACCUGAACCCUGGCGCUACCUCUGAUGACAUAGAUGAUCUCAUGAGCAUUCAAGUUCCAGCGGGGGCUGUGGAUAGCAUUCUGCAUGUACCAUUACCAGAUAAAUUUCAGGAUUAAUUGAUCAAUAGGUAACUAAAUUUAAUUAUUAGAAACAUACAUGCUAGAAUACUCACGUUGUAGAAGAAACCUCUCUCAGCGCUGAGACGGAGGUGCCUGAGAAUAGGCAUGCUGAAGCUGUUGAGGGUGCUGAUGCGACCGGCUUGUGGGCUGAAGACGUCAGCCAUGGAAGGCUUGCCGAUGUUCUGCUUGAUCUGCAUGUGGCAGAAUACCUCCUCAAAGCCAUUCUGGCGGCCCUGUUGUCCUUGCAGUUGUCUUUCCUCCCUCUGUGACUCUGGUGGCUCGACAAAGUCGAAACGUCCCUCAACCCUAACAAUUUGUGGCCUGUUGUCAUUCUGUCCCUGGAGCUGCUGGACAGUCUGUUGGUCAAUGUUGAGAGCAUCGGCGAGGAGCUGGGUGUCGAAGCCGGCAAAGACAUUGUUGUUGUUGUUACCCUGCUGUUGGCGCCUGCUCCUUCCUUGUUGUCGGCCUUGCUGUCCCCGUUGGCUUUGGCCUUGUUGUCCUUGUUUCCACCAUUGGCUUUGGCCUUGUUGGUUGAACUCAUCUUGCAUGCGGGUUACCAGCAAGAUAGAAUCGCUACAAAUAGAGAUCAAGCAGCAAGCAUUGAGUGAGUUAACAAUGUAAAAUAAGUUGUUAACUUCAUGUUUAGAGUAAAAUUGUCAGUAAAAAGGUGUACCCUCUUGGGUUUUGGUCAAGCUGGUUGUGGUUGUUGCCGAUGUCUAGAAGAGUAACAAAAACAAGAGAUUGAUCACCAUCGUUGUGAGUCCAGGUUGUGGCUCCGGCGGGGAUUGCGAUAACAUCACCUUCCUUGAUGCGUCGCACCCUCUGGUGUCGGUCUAGCUGUUCAAACUCUUGUUGGCCUUGCUCUCCGAAUUGCCCUUGUCGACGUCCGUGUCGCUGGCGGUGGCCUCCGCCUUGUUGGCCUUGCCAUUGUUGUUGCUGUUGUUCUUCAACAGAUUGCUCAGACUCCUCAAAUGUCUCCGGACAGCCAGGGAAUACCAUCCCUAGAUGACCCCUACCUACAGUAGUGUCCAAAAAUAGCAAGCUAAACACAUGCUUAAACACCACUAGGUGCAAUUUACUGAAUAAUAAAUAACGGACUGUUUUGCACUUUACCUUGUACAACGUAAACAAGCCUUGGUGUGUUAGUGUAGGAAGGCAAGUGAAGGCCAUUACGCUCAAUGGUGAUUCUUUGAACAGCAACACCAGCGCACUAGAAGUCAUCCUGGUUGUGAUCCCAAGACUCGAUGCGACCUGCUUCAGUCUCAAUACGGUUGUCAGGCUCGCGGGCUUGGAUCUGGUUCAGCAUGCACACAUUUUGCUGGCUGAACUGAGAUUGUUGCCGACUGGCUAAGCAGCCUUGGAAGAGAACGAGCAAGCAAAGAGAAAAGGCAAGAGCUAAAGGCUUGGCCACCAUUGUAACAAUCAGUGGUAGAUAGCUAGCUGUGGGUUGUGGUGAAGCGGCGAGUAGAUGGCGUCGGUAUUUAGAGGAGAGAGGAGGAGGCGAGGAGGAGAAAAAUACAAGGGAUGAGAUUCUCUUUGCAUGCUAUUAGUAUCUCAAAUUCAUACACCUCAUCUUUAUACCUGGGCAGGUGGCUAUUGGCUUCAGAGGAUAUAUAUACAAAGUGCCGAGAACAAUGUGGCAAACAGGUGGGGGGUGGUCAUGAUUGUCUGCAAGUAAAGCAAAUUGUACUGCCUUGAACCUGGUCAAGUUCAUGAAAAAGUUCAUUCAAGAUAUCAGGUCUAAUCUGUUUCAUGUUUGGUAAAGUAAAUAGAGUAGCAACCUGGACCAUAUAUAAUCUACACAGGUGAGAUAAAAAAACCUUAAUUUACCAUCAUGCAAUAGCCAGAAUCCAUCUUCAAUCCUCUAUGAUUCUAUUAAGACUUAAAGCACAUUUACCCUCUUCAAGAAUUCACAUUCCAGCACUCUUCUAAAUGACUCUACUUGAUGAAAUUCAAAGUACCUCUCGCUAUAUUCUGGGAAUUACUGUGAUCAUCAGAGCAAUUACCUCACCUAUUAACUCAUAGUAUGCUUGAGCUAAUGUGAGAUCAUUCCUUAUAUAAAUGAGAAUGCAAUGCCUAACAUAAGUUUUAUGUGUAUAAUACAAUCAUAAGAGACUCACUGAUUACAAUUAUAUGAAAUAUAUGAAACAAAAGCACAGAAAAUAGACUUCUGGAAAAAGAACAUAUUUCUACAAGUGAAGGCUUAUUAUUUACACUAGUCUCACUGAUUUCCAUUUGGCUCUUCUGACCAAAUAGACUUCUGUAAAAAGUACAACAUUUGAGCCCAUGAUCACCCUCUACUUGGAAAUACCAUUGAUUCUAAAACAUAGUCCUUACAGUAUUUGUGGGAACUAGAUUAUUGGGUCAGUUUAGCUAAGAUUAAACUGUUAACAAAACCAAGCUUUAGAACCCAAUUUAGCAAAAUGAACAUACAAUAGUGUCACACCCCGGACCGUGGUUUCCAAGCACCAGACGCCGAACCCGAGGCGUGAGCGGGAAAAAUAAAAGAAAAUAAAAUAAUUUCAAAUACUUUUCCAGAAAUUGUUAAAAAAAAAGAAAAUAAAAUGUUUUACAAUAACAAAACAAUUACAAAGACAAUAAGAUGAGCCCUUGCGAUCUAGCUCAUUUUUAAUCUUUCGUAACUCUUUUCUACUCUUGUACACGUCUCCUAAACUUCAUAGUCUCGAAAUACGUUCCUCGUACGUACCUGAACAAAAGUCUAUAGGGAUGAGCUUACGCUCAGUAGGGCCAAACCUUUUUAGGUUAUACUUAACUAGGUUGCACAAACAAGUUAUCAAGCAAUGUCAAACAAUACUUUAAAUAAAUAACGGCAAUUCGAUGCAUGUAUGCUAAUGAAUGUCUUCCUCAAUUACUAGCUAUCAGUCCAUACAUCAAAGAUAAGUGAGCCUACACGUCUCAUACCGUGUAUUUUACCAACCGGGGAUAACUCAAAUGUCUCGAAUAUAUGAUCUAACAAUCAAUAAAAUCUCACCACCUGUACCUCUUUUGUUAGUCAUCUUGUUAUAUUCAUGGUCUCCAAACCUGAAACCCGAAGAUCGUUUUAUCGAUGUCCGCCAUCGAAGGGGCAUAUAUACUUUCCCCACUCAUUUGCGCAUGUGGGCUGGCAUGGAUUCAUGGACAACCCAUGAGAAAACUCAACUACACAAAAUGUAUAUAUUCUCUAAAUCUCAUUCUCCUCUCCAUAAUCAUCAUUCUCACCAUUCUCACAAUUCCUCACAAUGUUUUACACACUACAAGGACAAACACUUUAGCCGACGAAAAAGUUUCGUCGGCCUGUUAGCUUAAUUUGUCGGCUAAGAUUUCGUCGGGAAAAGGUCGUCGGCGAUGACUUUAGCCGACGAAAAAAGAAGACGUCGUCGGCUAUAGUCCCACAAUUUAGCCGACAAAAAACAUGUCGUCGGUUUUUUUCCCAGACUUUAGCCGACGAAACAAUAAGAUAUUCGUCGGCUAAAGUGUGUAAUAAAAAAUUAAAAAAAUAAUUAUAGCCUACCAAAUAUAGUCUGUUUCGUCGGCUAAACCUUAUAAAAAAAUUAAAAAAAUAACUAUAGCCGACGAAAUAUAGUAUGUUUCGUCGGCUAAACCUUAUAAAAAAAUUAAAAAAUAAAUAUAGCCGACGAAUAUAGUAUUUAAAUAUCGUCAGCUAAAGUUGCUGGUUUUUGAAAAAAAAAACUGCAGAAACUUUCGGCCAACUCCAAUCACCACCAAAAUUUGAUAGAAUCUUCCUCUCAACAUUUCAAACAACUUUCUAGAAGAAGUCGAAUCCCAAUUCUAAACCUAAACAGGUCAAUUGAAUCAAAAUAUAAAAAUCCCCAAUUUUAAACCCUAAAAACUUCAAAUCUUUGAUUCUCCUCACACACACCGAAUCGAGCUACCAAAUUCUAGGGGAAUGUAGUACUAAUCAAACUCAACUUAUCCAUAUAUAGAACUCACCAAAUGGUGACCUGAGGAAUGAGAAAUUCGAUCGACACCGAAUCCAAACCGGCGGAGUUUUGGAGCUCGAUUUAUCCCUCACGGCGGCGCCACUCGAUGCACCACCUAUCCAGCAAUGAAGUAGAGACAACGACGAAGCUUUUGGGACAAGUGUGGCGGUCUCCAGUUGCUUGACGGCAGAGCUAGGCCGAGAAGAAAAUCCGGAACUUUUUCUGAUUUUCUGACUUCUUACCAUCCACCUCUGGUAAAACUCCUAUAUAAAGAACUUUACCCGACGAAAUUCUUUAUUUUCGUCAGCUAAACUCUUUUGAAAAUUUUUGUUGACCGCCAAAAAAUUUGGUUGAAAAUUUUAAAAAUUUUUCGACUUUAGCCGACGACUUUUCAUAUAUUUUCGUCGGCUAAAGUCCUUUGAAAAUUUUCCUCCAAAUUUGGUUUACCGCCAACAAAAUUUGACCUUAGCCGACGACUUUUUUAGUAUCUCGUCGGCUAAAGUCUAUAAAUUCACGAAAACGCUCAUAUCGAUCUCCCUCUAUAUUACGUAGUUUGGUCAAACAUUCCACACGAAAAACUUUCACAUAGAUGAGACGCAACCGCCUAUAUAAAAAUUUUGAGACAUUUACCUUCCGACGAUAGGGCUCCCCAUAGGGAAUAAUAACGGUAAAUAGGGUUAACCGCUACUAUCGGCACCGAGACGUUACCCAGUUUACGUGGAUUUUGAACCAUAGCCGUAAUUCAUCAUUCUGAACACAUCUUAUUUCACAAGAUUUUUGAUAAUUUUGCUUCCUAUGUUGUAUAACCUACUAAACAAGUUAUACAACAUUACUAGACACGUGAUUCCGAUGACUAAAAUUCACAAACCAAAAUUCGACCAUCAGAUAUGAUCAUUAUGACGAAAGAUGUCUAUAGUAAAAAAUUUAACUGGAUUCGACAACGUUAAGGGCUCGAUCGAAACGGUCAACUCUAAUCGGAAAUAAGAAAACUGCAUUUUGAAGCCCUAAACGGACUCGGAUGGCCAAAAAGGCCCAUAUGUGAUGGCAUAGCGAUGAGUUUGACUCGUAGGGCCGUUACGCUUCUAGAAAUGUAUCACAAUAGUCAAUCGGACGCCGAAUGCCAAAUCUGCAGCAUAAUUAAUACCGGGUUUCGACUGUUCUACAUCAGAGACGUUACCCGAUUUACGUGAUUUUUGAACCAUAGCCGUAUUUCACCGUUCUGAACACAUCUUAUUUCACGAGAUUUUUGUUAAUUUUGCUUCUAUGUAGAGUUGGUUCACAAAGUUGUGUAUUUGUUUAAAACCUACUAAGCAAGUUAUACAACAUUUUAUUGUUUUUCUUUUAGCCGACGACUUUUAUCGAUAAUAGCCGACGAGUAAAAAUAUUGGCCAACGAAGGAAAACUUUUUGGUCGACGAAAAAAAAAUUUCGUCGACUAAAGUAUCGUAUAGCCGAUGAAAAAAUUUCUUCAGCCGACGAAAAUUUAAAUUAGCCGACGAAAAAAUAAUUCGUCGGCCUGGUUUUUUUAUUUUCGUCGGCUAAAACCUUUCUUUUGGUAGUGACACAUGUCAAAUGAAUAUCAAUACACGUUAUAUUAUUUUAAACAACAUGUUUUUUACGGAAAACGAUAACAUCAAUCAUAUAUAUCAACAAAUACACAUGUUUUUAACAAAACAAUAACAACCAAGAGUUAUCACUCAAUGACAAACAAAACAUCCAUUUCAAUUAUAAUCUAAUUAUCAAUUUAAGAAAGGUUCCCCGAGAAAGACCCUACCUGGAAUCCAAAUGCUACUUCCGACGCUAGCUAAAAUUAGUAACUCUGCUGAAAUCCUUAUCCUGCUACUUCUGCAAUCCAGCUACUCGCAUUCGAUCCUCGUACCGAAUCCUCAUUCCAAGAAUAUUGACAGACCACUUCAAAUCAGCUUGAUCUAAUUCUGAAAUUUACUAAGGACACCCAAGUCCUUACUUCCGAUUCUUCGACAUUCACUACUUAAUUCUCUCAUAGUAUCCAAACUCACAAUUGUGCUCCAAAUACGAAAUCCAUCUCCAAACACCAACCCAACUUCAAAUAGAAGUUAAUAUUUUUAUCUAAAAUUACUCUCUACACCCAAAACUCCCAUUAUAAAUCUCAAUACAGCUUGAUCAUCCUUCCCUCUUCUCCUUUGCACCAUUUCACAAUAUCUUCCUUGUAGACCCAACAAGCAAACCUCCAGACUUGUUCAUGAUGAACAUGUUCAUAUACGAGCACUUCCAUUACAUAAAUUAAAAUCAUUCUUCUACUUCCACAACUCUCAAACAUUAGACCAAACAAUUGUAACAACCACUGUUCUAACACUCGAGCCACAAUCAGCCUUCCAAUCAUCCCCUUCUCUCUCUUUUGAACGUUCAAGAAGCAUCAACACCAAUUCAAGUUCCUGAGCAAAGCCAGCACCGCCAACAACGCCACCACACACGGCAGCCGACGACUGCCCCGAAAUCAUCAACUCCUCCAAUCUCAAAUUCAAUUACAACCAACCAUGAAAUUAUAUUUUAAAGCCUCUAUCAAUAUCAAAGAUAGCUAAUCCAAAACCCAAAACAUUAUCAACGCCGCCGUGCACAGCAGCCGCGCACGGUGGUCGACUGCCCAAAUUCCACCUUCUUCCAAACAUAACCAAAUAUGAAUUCCACUUAUAUAAACAGGUAGAGCUCGACGAGAAGAUCAAGUUUCAUACCUCACUUGUCAUCGACGGUGGCCUGAAAGUUUCGAACCCUCGCCGGAAAACUCCUUGAGCUUUAAUUAAUCGAUUCUCACUCAUGGAGGCUCCUCUUAAUAUACGAACAUCAUGGAAGGGUUUCUGACAUCGAGACGAAGCUUCAGCUAUCGAUGAGAGGCGUCGACGCUGCCGGAAUCGAAAGUUGACCCGCGAACCCAGCCUCUCUUUCUCCCCUUCGAUUCUCUUACCCGACCUCUUCUGAAGAAACUGAGGACAUAGGGAAGACCACGAGAACGAGAGGAAGCUACCAAUACCCGUCACACUCGCCGUCGUGGCCGAAAUCACGAACUCGACCGGAAACCCAGAAAUUCUUCUCCUCCUCGAUUCUCUCUCUCCUCAGCUUUCCAUGGAAAUCCAACAUCACAAUCGUGUUGGGGACGACUAGACGGAGCUUUUGACACCGGUCUUGCACCGGGAAAUAGCUGGACCACAGAGGAAGGAGCUGAGCUCCGUCGCUGCAGAGCAGCUCGAGACCGAGUCGGUCUAGGCUUGUACUGAUCCAGUCCAAACUAAUCCCCUGUAUAUACAUACCUAAAUCGAUGGCCUAGAUCUAGCGGCUUAAGAGAUCCAACAGUCUAGAUCAUGUCAGCAAUAAGUCUAUUUUUAAUUAAAUUUUUAGAUAAUACAAACUUCUAAAAAUCAUUAAAAAUAGCUCUGAUGUCCAAAAAUACUUCCGUAAAAUUCUACAAACUCAUAACGACGUCUAGGUUAAUCCUAUGGGCUCGAAAGACAAAAUCGACAAACUAAAAAUUUGAAUAAUUUUCAACAAGCCACAAAAAAUUAAAAGAAUAAUAGAAAUCGAAAUAAAAAUAGCUCGAAAAAUAAUUUUCCUUUUAAAAAUAGAAAACUGAAAUUCCAGGAUGUUACAAAUAACUUCAGGAUUUCAAUUACAUGCAAAAGACAAGAGUUAGCAAGUAACUAAACCUUGGAAUUUAGAAUUUAAAUUUCAAGCCAGUGGUUAUUGUUGAACCUGUUACGAAGGAAAUGAAGCUCAGUCGACUGUGUGAUCGUCCGGUGUGGUUCACCUGAGUACCGUCGCUUGAUACAUUGAUCGGUUCCAUCUUACUCCGCAUUCCUAAUUGCCCGCUUCUCACUGGUGGCUGUCGUUUUCGUUUCUUUCGAAUAUGAAUUUUGUGUUGGGCUUUCGCAACUGUUAUUUGGGCCUGUAUACAGUAGUAUUAUCUCUCUCUCUCUCNNNNNNNNNNNNNNNNNNNNUAUUAUCUCUCUCUCUCUCUCUCUCUCUCUCUCUCUCUCUCUCUCUCUCUCUUUUCAAUAACCUGUCUUUUCUUUUUUAUUUAGAGAAGAUUCUACAACUUUUUGUUUCAAGACAUCUUUAUUUAUUUAUUUAGAGAAGAUUAUUUAUGAGGCUAUGUCAAAGAGAGAGCUUCUGCGACUGGAGUAGUUGACAUACCAUAGUUGAACGAAGCUACAACCCAUGGAUGGUCGUUAAUUGUUGGUGCUAAUCACGAAUCCCUCAACUGCAGAGUUUCUCCUGACCGAUCUAUCAAAGUUGAUUUUAACCCUAUCCCACAACCACUAUCCGGUUGCUGAAGCUCUAGCUCUGCGCAAUAGCCUCGUGUAUGCUAAUUAAAGAGCGAGGCUUCUCCAAGAUUGAAGUUGAGGGCGAUUCUAAGUUGGUGAUUGACGCCGUGAAUGGAGUGUCGACCCCUCUGUGGAAGUUACUCAAACUAAUUCAUGAUAUCAAAGUCUUGAGUAAUUCCUUUGAGUUUGUAUGCUUUCAGCAUGUGUUUAGGGAAGCAAACUUUGUGGCUAAUGCUUUAGCCAAUCUUAGAUAUAGGCUGAGUAACCUACGCUGCUAGGAGAAGUGUGUUCCCCCGGAAGUGUCUUCUGCUCUUGCCUUUGACAUUGUAAACCUUGGGUGCAUUAGAGACACCUCCAUCUAAUAUAUUUUUUUUUNNNNNNNNNNNNNNNNNNNNNNNNNNNNNNNNNNNNNNNNNNNNNNNNNNNNNNNNNNNNNNNNNNNNNNNNNNNNNNNNNNNNNNNNNNNNNNNNNNNNNNNNNNNNNNNNNNNNNNNNNNNNNNNNNNNNNNNNNNNNNNNNNNNNNNNNNNNNNNNNNNNNNNNNNNNNNNNNNNNNNNNNNNNNNNNNNNNNNNNNNNNNNNNNNNNNNNNNNNNNNNNNNNNNNNNNNNNNNNNNNNNNNNNNNNNNNNNNNNNNNNNNNNNNNNNNNNNNNNNNNNNNNNNNNNNNNNNNNNNNNNNNNNNNNNNNNNNNNNNNNNNNNNNNNNNNNNNNNNNNNNNNNNNNNNNNNNNNNNNNNNNNNNNNNNNNNNNNNNNNNNNNNNNNNNNNNNNNNNNNNNNNNNNNNNNNNNNNNNNNNNNNNNNNNNNNNNNNNNNNNNNNNNNNNNNCACUCUCUCUCUCUCUCUCUCUCUCUCUCUCUCUCUCUCUCUCUCUCUCUCUCUCUCUCUCUCCACCGUUGAGCAGCAACGAUUCUGGCAACACCGGACGGCGAGACCGCCACUGAAGUGAUCCUCUCCUCCUCCUCAACUCAGCCCAGUCCUUUAAUUCGGAAGACAUCCACUUUUGGCGGAGAUCGAUGGAGGAGGACGGUGACUAUCCUUCAUUGUUUUCCGGCGAGGGCUCAGGCUCCGAUCACUGAUCCACCUAGCGACGGUGAGUCCCUUCCUCCUCUCUUCCUUCUGCACAGUCUAGUGCUUUAUUUCCUUCAAAUCGAGACCUAACUCAGAAAUCCCCUUGUGUUUCUGAGUUUCUUGAGCUUCUUUUCCUGCGAUUGUGUUCUUCGUGUUCUGGUGGCGACCACGAGCUCCGACGAGCGUAGUUCAUCCUUGGAGAUGCCGGGACUUAGAGUUGGGAAGCUUUGGGGCAGUUGCUGUUGUGCAGCAUCGUGGCAAAGGGACUGCUUAUUGAUUUCAAGCAAGGAGAGGUUGCUGGGUUUGAGUGGUGUACAGAUUGGAGGUAAGGAGUUUGAUUUGGUCGGCUGUGUUGUUGUUUGUGUUGCGGUUAUUGAGUUGGAUUGUGACUAAAAUCAUUGUUGUGGUUGAUACUUGUCGAUGUCAAUAACUUGGUGAUAGGAGUUUAUGAGGAGGCUAUGGCAAAAUUCCGGUAAGUCGUCGGAAUCUGGCAAGAGAUUUCGACGAGGGCAGAAUCAUGCAGAGACUAUUGAGGUAGUUAUCGAUGUUUUUCCCUGCUAUUGUGUAUCGUUUCAAUAAUAGGAAAGUUUGUAGGUUGUAAUCGGAAAUCUUUCUAAGUGAGGAAAGUUUCUAUUUUAGGAAACUUUCCCUUUUUGGGAAACUUUCUAUUUAUGGAAACCCAUUGUUGGGUGCCCUUAGUGAUUUAUGGGGUGAAGUUGUGUUGAGAGGAAGUAUAUGGGGAUUGUAUGGGUGAAGAAACAAUUGUAAUUGUGUUGUAAUUGAGGAUUUCUCGGAUGAAGAAAUUGGAUAAUCGAGGAAUGGAUUUAGUGAAAAGGUUUGUUCUUAUUUAAGAUCUAAUUGAUUUCAAGUGAAGCAAAUAAUUGAUUUAUUAAAAUGAUUGUUGGAUUUGAAUUGGAUGGUUAAGAGUAAUCAAGGUAACCCGAAUUUUCAAGUCGAAGGUUAGAGUGGAAAAUGUUGAAACUUCGUUACUUGGCCAACCCUAAUUUAAUUGGUCAAUUUUGGUCAACUCAGGAAAUCUAGCCAAACUAGGAAGAAUUUGAAUCCAUGAUUAUUAUGGUGUUUGGUCUGACCGAUUUAUUCUUCUAUUUAUCGUCAGACGUGGGAUUGGCUAGAGAAUGUGAAUAGUUUGAGGCAGCGCUCGAGGAGUAUUCCGAGCAUUGGAAGACUUAGGCCUAAUACGGUGAGUGGACUUUUGUUUUAAAUAAUAUGCAUGCAAAUGGUUUAUUGUUGAGCAAUUUCUUUUGUUGGAGCAUUUGACGUCAUUUUAUUUUGACGAUUUCUUUUAUUUUGGAGAGUUACCGAAAAUGAGAUUUUCGGUGGAUAUGUAUAUGGAUUCUUAUGAGUAUAGUAUAAAUGCUAGCUAGCCUUACGUGUUUGGUCCGUCAUAAUAAGGUAAAAUUCCAUUAUGGCGUGACGUAAGUGUUAGACACAAGCGUCAUAGCCCUAUAUGAAAACUAUUUUCAUAUCUAGUUCAUAUAGAUUUUCAUAUAGGGAGUCCACACGUAUAUACACCCGUCCUCUUCGGUCAUAAUGAGGAAAAAUUUCAUUAUGGCGCGACGUGAGCGUUAGACGCAAGCGUCGUAGCCUUGUAUGAAUUUCUAUUUUUCUAUUUUGUUCAUAGAAUUCGUACAAGGAGUCUGACGAGUGUAAAUACAUACAUAUAUGUAUAGUUUAACCUGAGAUUCUGUAUUUUAUUAAGUUUUGGAGACUAGCUCAUGUAUUUGCCAGUUUAUGAGUUGAAAGCUUUUGAGCUGUCGCAUGCAGCAUAUUUUAUAUGGAAAUUAAAUUGGGGAAGCAUAAAGAAAUAUUGUUAUUAAAUUUAUUUUUGUCCACUCACUCUAACGUGUUUUCAAAUGUUUUCCCAUGCGCCAUUUGUUUUAAAAAUGCUCAGUAUGCAGGUUAGCUUAGUUGAGGUCGGGCGUACAUGAAGAAGAGACAUAGUCAAUAGUAUAGUUUCUGCUCAUUUCUAUAUUUCUAGUUCUUUUCUUCUCCAUUAGAGCUGUUCUGAACUGUGAUUGUUGGUUAUGGGAUUAUUCUUAUUAAGUUAGUAAAUAAAUUGGGAGAUGUUGUGAUUUGGGGAGCACGAAGGCUCCAGGAGUAGAGGGUUAUAGAUGGAUUUUUUCGAAGUGUUUGCAGGUAUUUCUAGGAAGGGUUGUCCAUUUUCAAGAGAGAUUAUGUCGAAUUUUCGGUAAAUUUUCCUUGGAGGUGGUCCCCGCAGGAUUUACUUCGGGUUUCAGGGUGAAAUUCGAGGUGGGUCCUGACACCAAGUGAGGAUUUUUAAAAAUGUUUAGGUGAUGUGAUAAUGAAAUUGGAAAAUAUCAAAUAACAAUUAAAACAUUCAUCUAACCAUUCAUUCAAAAGUCUACAUAUAAUUCUCGUUAUAAGUAGGAUGGCAAUGGGUAGGGUAGGAUACGGGGAUCAAAAUACCGUAUCCAUACCCUUUUACAUUUCUCAUCCCCGUACCCGUAAUUAGAUAAUGGGGAUUUCCCGUACCCGUACCCUUUGGGGAUUACGUUUCCAUACCCGUACCCGUACCCGUUAACAAUUAUGUAUUAAAUUAAAUUUUUUUUUAAAUACGAAAUACAUUAUAUAAAAGUAUGAAAUUAAAAUCAAAUACCAAAAUAAAUAAGUUUCAUGCUUCAAUCCAAUAAAAAUAAAUACAAGUUUUGGUUAAAACAGAACAAUACCGAUAAAUUUCAUUAAGAAAAUAAAAAUAUAUAAUAAAAAGGAAGGUCCGUUUAUUAAGAGAAUCACAAAUUUUUUUACAUAAAUAUUUAUUUAUAAAUUAUAUAUAAAUAUAUAUAAUAAAUUAUAUAAUUAUAUAUAAUAAUAUUUUCAUCCUUAAUAGGUGGGGAUAGGGACGAAUAUCAAAAUAUCAUACCCGCCCCGUACCCGAUUUAAGAAUCCGAAUACUGGGGAUCCCCAUCUCCAUUACCCAUUUAUAACCGUAUAUCUUCCUCGUUAGAGUCGAAUACCCGUGGGUACCCUACCCGCUAGGGAUUAUUGCCAUCCUUAGUUAUAAGGUUCUCAUUAGAAGUUUUCCCACUAAUGAAAUCGAAAAUUAGAAAGUCGCAACCUAGCUAUCUAUCAUGACGAAAACUAACAAAACCCGAUGAAGUAUCACACCAAGGAACUCUAGAUCUAACGUAUAUCUGUCUUUUGUGAUCCAAAAAACACGCGUACGACAUAUUACAUUGACUUACAACAUUUGGUGUACGGUAAUACCGUAUACCGUAUACCAUUUCCUAAACAUUUUCUCAAAAGUUAUACCAAGCACAACACCCAUAUAGGCAUAUUUAAGAAGUCCAAAAAGAAAUAAAGUUCAUUUUUCUCGGUCUUCACUAUCCGAUUUAAGUUUGUUUAACCCUAUACAGUCCAUUAUUUCAAGGAUCAAAACAAUUGAUAAUCGGAUUCGAUGCUAAUGAUCGACUUGGCUUUAAGGUGAUGGAAACCACUUCCAAUGGCCAGAAAAGACUUGAUUGGAGACUCCAAAAUAUAUAACUAGCUAGAUUCCGUAUUUCAUACCAAAUAGGAUCUCAAAUUAUAUAAAGUGAGAAAGCAAACUCAAACUAUCAAAAUGUUGUCGAAAUAUAUGGAUGGAGUUCUUGCAAAUUCUAUAUAUUUGAACCAAAGGAGAGUACGUACGUAGUACCUAUAGCUAUCUAAGGUUAGUCAGUUACUCAAUUUUAUUAGACUUCAUCAAUCGCUUUUCGUCUUUCACUCUAUAUAUGCCAUUUUGAAGUAGGUAUAACCAAGGAAAGGAAGUAGAAGAAGAAGGAAAUUUCAUUAUAAGCCAUACGAUUACAAGUGCAUAUAUAGUACGUAGUAGCUAGUUAUUGUCUUAGUGCGUUAGACCUCUCGUACUACAAGAGAGCCAUACAGGACUACCUUUAUUCAUUCUCUACCCCUUAAGCUAGCUUAGUGCCAAAACACUACGUGCCGCAUCAUAUUUUUACAUUUCGAUCAUCACAAUGAUUUAAGCAAUAGCCCAUCAGCUCUUCUGGGGCAUGGCAGCCGACCUUGAGGAGCUCAAGGCAACGAUCUCCUGCCUGUUGUACUUGAGGUUCCUAGCCUGCUGACGGUCCAUCUGGUAAGCGUUGGCGAGGACCACGUCGGGGAGUGAUCGCAGGACGGAGGUCCUACCAGCCAUGGUGUUGAUCAUGGCAUUGUCUUGGGUCUUAAAGGCAAUGUACUCGUAUCCAUUGCUCAUGGCCUUUUGCAACACGGCGUGGUUUUGCGGCACGAUGAAGAGCUGUCCCUGGCGGACCUGGUCGUCCAAGAUGCAGUCGCCAUUGUCGUUCACCACCUGAACCCUAGCGCUGCCCCUGAUGACGUAGUAUACUUCAUGGGCGUUCAAGUUCCAGUGUGGGCUGUAGAUAGCGUUCUGCAUUUACAACGUAUCAAUCACUUUUAAUUACUUAAGCUCAAACAAUUAAUUGGUAACUAAUUAAAAUGAACUAAUAAAUGCAUGGAAAAGAAUACUGACGUUGUAGAAGAAGCCUCUCUCAGCGCUGAGACGGAGGCGCCUGAGAAUAGGCAUGGUGAAGGCGUUGAGGGUGCUGAUGCGACCGGCUUGCGGGCUGAAGACGUCGGCCAUUGUAGGCCUUCCGAUGUUUUGUCUCAUCUUCAUGUGGCAGAAGAGCUCCUCCAUGCCGUUCUCUUCAUAUUGUCCUUGUUGUCCCUGCAUUUGUGUUCCUUGGAUUUGCCUUUCCUCCCUCAUUGACUCUGGGGGCUGGAUGAAGUCGAGGCGUCCCUGUACCCUAACAAUCUGUGGCCUGUUGUCGUUCAUUCCCUGGAGCUGCUGGGCGGUCUGUUGGUCGAUGUUAAGAGCGUCGGCGAGGAGCUGUGUGUCGAAGCCGGAGAAGACGUUGUUGUAGUUCCCCUGCAUUUGGUGCCUGCUCUUUCCUUGUUGUCUCCGGAUCCGUGGGCUUUGGCCUUGUUGGGUGAACUCAUCUUGUGGGUUACCAGCAAGGUAGAAUCUCUAUAUAUAAAGAGAGAUUAAGCAGCAACAAGUCAGUGAACAUUACCCUAAACUAUUUUUGGUACAUGCAAGAAUAUAUACUGAAUGAAAUGUGGUAAGAAAUUGUACCCUUGGGAUUCGGUCCAGCUGGUUGUGCUGGUUGCUCAUGUCAAGAAGACUGACGAAAACAAGAGGUUCGUUAGCGUCGUUGUAACUCCAGCAGGUGACACCAGCAGGAAUGGCGAUAACAUCACCUUCCCUGACGCGUCGGACCUUCUGGUGACGGUCGAGCUGAUCAUAGCUCUCUUGCUGGCCUUGCUGGCCCAUUUGUCCCUCUCGGCGUAUAAUCUGUUGCCGGCGGCCUUGUUGGCCUUGAGAUUGUCGUUGCUCUUCAACAGAUUGUUCGGUUUCUUCGAAAGUCUCGGGACAGCCGGGGAGAACCAUUCCUAGAUGACCCAUACCUGCAAUACUCAUAGCAAUAAGUUAACAGUCCAUCGACAAACGCUAGCUAGCUACAUGCAAUUUCGGUAUAACUAAUGAAGUGAUAUGAUAUUACCUCGGACGACGUAAACGAGUCGUGGAGUGUUAACGUAAGAAGGCAGGUGGAGGCCGUUGUUCUCAAUGGUGAUCUUCUGAACGGCGACGCCAGCGCACUGGAAGUCAUCCUGGUUGUAGUCCCAGGACUCGAUCCGACCUGCUUCAGUCUCAAUGCGGUUGUCGGGCUCGCGGGCUUGGAUCCGGUUCAGCAUGCACUCAUUUUGCUGGCUGAACUGAGUUUGUCGCCGACUGGCUAAGCAGCCGUGGAAGAGAACAAGUAAGCAAAGAGAGAAAGCGAGAGCUAAGUGCUUGGCCAUUGUGAUGAUCAAUGGCAGAUAGCUAGUUGUGGGUUGUGAUGAUGAAGUGGAGAGUAGAGCGUUGGUAUUUAUAGGAGAUGAGAGGAGGUGAGGGUGAGAAUAGUGCAAAUGAUGUGUAAGGAAUCUCAUGCCAUUCUUCUCUUUGCAUGGCUAUUAGUAUUUCACAUUCUUACACCUCAUUUCUCUUCCAGGGCAGGUGGCUCUUGGCUUCAGAGAAGGUUUAAAGUUAUAAGAACAAGGUGGCAACCAGGUGGGGUGGCCAUGAUUGUUUGCAAGUGAAGCAAAUUUCACCUCCCCGAACCUCGUGCAAUGCAUGAACUCGAAUAAUUAACUCAUGAAUCAGAUCUGAAACUGUUUCAUGUUCGUGAAGAAAUAUUACAUCAGUACCAUCCCGAACUAUCUAUAAUUUACGGAGGUGAAACAUAAGAUGAUAAGAACUUUAUCAUCUUCCAAAUAGUAAUAUCCAUAUUCCUUUACUCCCUUUGUAUGUAAUUCAAAUGUAGUAUUUAAGACUUUUUGAACAUUUUUCAAGAAUGAUCUCUGGACUCGGCGCGCUCUUAUGUAUAAGAGUUCCUUUACCUGCUAAUAAAUCUAAAUAACUUAUAUAUAUAUAUAAACGGAUUUUCUCAGCUGCGGACGUCCGCACCAAUUUUUUGGUGCGGAUUUCUAUUUUUUCAUCACUUUUCGAUCGAAUUUCCUCAUCUCCACCGUCUAGUAUCUAGAUAAUAUUGUGUAGAUCAUCUCUGCAANNNNNNNNNNNNNNNNNNNNNNNNNNNNNNNNNNNNNNNNNNNNNNNNNNNNNNNNNNNNNNNNNNNNNNNNNNNNNNNNNNNNNNNNNNNNNNNNNNNNNNNNNNNNNNNNNNNNNNNNNNNNNNNNNNNNNNNNNNNNNNNNNNNNNNNNNNNNNNNNNNNNNNNNNNNNNNNNNNNNNNNNNNNNNNNNNNNNNNNNNNNNNNNNNNNNNNNNNNNNNNNNNNNNNNNNNNNNNNNNNNNNNNNNNNNNNNNNNNNNNNNNNNNNNNNNNNNNNNNNNNNNNNNNNNNNNNNNNNNNNNNNNNNNNNNNNNNNNNNNNNNNNNNNNNNNNNNNNNNNNNNNNNNNNNNNNNNNNNNNNNNNNNNNNNNNNNNNNNNNNNNNNNNNNNNNNNNNNNNNNNNNNNNNNNNNNNNNNNNNNNNNNNNNNNNNNNNNNNNNNNNNNNNNNNNNNNNNNNNNNNNNNNNNNNNNNNNNNNNNNNNNNNNNNNNNNNNNNNNNNNNNNNNNNNNNNNNNNNNNNNNNNNNNNNNNNNNNNNNNNNNNNNNNNNNNNNNNNNNNNNNNNNNNNNNNNNNNNNNNNNNNNNNNNNNNNNNNNNNNNNNNNNNNNNNNNNNNNNNNNNNNNNNNNNNNNNNNNNNNNNNNNNNNNNNNNNNNNNNNNNNNNNNNNNNNNNNNNNNNNNNNNNNNNNNNNNNNNNNNNNNNNNNNNNNNNNNNNNNNNNNNNNNNNNNNNNNNNNNNNNNNNNNNNNNNNNUAUAUAUAUAUAUAUAUAUAUAUAUAUAUAUAUAUAUAUAUAUAGGUUUCAACCGCAAGAGGUUAGUUCAGCACUAGUAAAUAUAUAAUUACAUGGCACAUGGAAGUGAUGGAACAAAGAAGUGAUACGCAAAUCAUCAAACUAUCACAUACGGCCUGAAACUUUGUGCUAAUACGUACAUAUGCCCUUCAAAUAUCCCUUAAACUUGUCAUAUUGUCAUAUAUAUUGACAUGCAUUUCAUUUGCAUCAAUGCAGAAUCAAACCCUUCGUAUAAAAUAAAAAUAAAAAUGCAGAAUCAAACCCUGACGUUAAUACAAGGAUAUUAGUUCCUAUGUCACUAACCGAUCGAUUUGGUGCAUCAAGUGCUCACCCAUGUACAAUCCCAAACAUAUGAUUCAUAUGAUAUGAAAUAGGCCAUCACAACCGAGAACUCACCGCCCCUCCUCUAUUUAACCCUGAGCUUAGAUAUCAAUCAUAUGAAACGCAUUCAUUUCCACAAGUGAAUUAAAAACCUCUGAAGGCUUAAUUAGCCGUUUAGGGUUCAUAUAUGGAUCUCUCAGUAAUUUGAAUUUGGCCACUUAUUCGAUCUUGUCAAACGAAGGACGCAAGGCAAUCUUUAGCUACUAGUUGUCCUUAGCGAUGAUCAUUAAGCACGUACGUACAGUUUCUAUAAUAAACUUUCUUAUUUCUUUCUAUUACAAUGGUUUGAAGCUUUUCUGUGCUAAUUGAUUCGUAAAGCUCGAGAGUACGUAGCUAUAUAUAUCCCAAUCAUUAAGGACCCUAUUAAUCAAAGUGAACAAUUAGCUUCAGGAUAACUGAGUAGGAAUAAUGGAGUAGCACCGGGAAAUAAGUCGGAAAAUACGUUCGUCCGGACUAAGUACGUAUGUGUGCGUCCGGACUCUCUUUUAUUUACUUUCUUUUGUCAAUGCAAAUCAUAAUCUUAACCGUUCAAAAGUUGAAUUAACCUAUAUAGAUCAUCUCUACAAAAUUUCAAUGUAAACAAACAUCGUUUUCUUAGUCGAUUACAUUAAACAAAUUGACAGUUCUAGUGAAAGUUAACAGUCUCAUGAUCAGUCGUCCAUUUGUUUGAUACAUUCGGCUUAGAAAACAAUGUUUGUUUACAUUGAAAUUUUGCAGAGGUGAUCUCCAUAUAUAGGUACGUAAAUAAGAAAGAGUUCAGACGCACACGUACAAACUAGUCCGAACGCAAAUAUUUUCCAAAUAAACUAGUCCGAACGCAAGUAUUUUCCAAAUAAGUUAAAUGACAAAAGCCAAAGUUUACAAGUACAUAAGAUUAGACCGAGUGUAAUGAUAAAAUGCGUGCACCAAAUCGGAAAUUGAGACUGAGAAUAAGAUUAAACACUCUGUAGUGUGUACUUACGUAGAGUUUAUCUAUCAAACUUGUUGUCGAAUUUGCUUUGAGGCAAAACCACCUAGCUACUUCAAAUUGGCGUGUAAGAUGAUGCUUAUAGUUGUGGACUUGUGGGUAAUGAGUUGAGAUUAAGUUAGAGUGACUGCGAGAGCGGUAUGUUGGAGUCUUCAAAAUAUAACCCAUUUUACAUUUCUCCUAUUCUAUGAUUAUUCUUUUUUCUUAUCCUAUGUUCUAUAAGUAGAUAACACAAUUGUCAAUUCUUUUAUUUUUCUUCUCUGUUCUAAAAAAACAAAAGAAUGUCUAAAUGUUGAAUCAACCAUAUAACAAAUUAAGCAAUACACUAAAAGAAGCUGCAGCUACCAGCUUGCUUUGGUCAAUUUGUUAUAUACUAAAGAUAUACCAAUUAUUCAUCAACGUCGACUCGGGUCAACGUACCACAUAGAUAUGCAAUAUGAAAGGGAAGAGUAUAUCAUCAAGGCAAACCAAAAAAGUGAAAACUUCAUUAGAAAGCAUAACGUUACAAGUACGUACAUAUACGUAGCAGCUAGUACUAUAACUUAGUACAUUGGAUCUCCCAUACUACAAAAGAGCCAUACAAGGCACUUUUAUUCCCUCGAACUGACGAACUCUACCCCUUAGCUAGCUUGAUGCUAAAACACUACAUGCCGCAUCACAUUUUUACAUACAUAUAUUGAUAUAUUUAAGCACUAGCCCUCUCGGACUGGAAAGAUCUUGAGGAGCUCAAGGCAACAGUCUCCUGCCUGUUGUACUUGAGGUUCCUUGCCUGCUGACGGUCCAUCUGGUAAGCAUUGGCGAGGACCACGUCGGGGAGUGCCCGGAGGACGGAGGUCCUGCCAGCCAAGGUGUUGAUUAUGGCAUUGUCUUGUGUCUUGAAGGCAAUGUACUCGUAUCCAUUGCUCAUGGCCUUUUGCAGCACGGCGUGGUUCUGCGGCACGAUGAAGAGCUGUCCCUGGCGGACCUGGUCGUCCAAGAUGGUCUCACCGUUGUCGUUCACCACCUGAACCCUAGCGCUGCCCCUGAUGACGUAGUACACUUCAUGGGCGUUCAAGUUCCAGUGUGGGCUGUAGAUAGCGUUCUGCAUGUACCACAUAAUAACCAUAAUUAAAACUGCUAAAUUAAACUCCACCAUAACUUGAUUAGACUUAGUUGAUAGACAAAUCAAUAUGCAUGCAUAUAUACUCACGUUGUAGAAGAAGCCUCUCUCAGCGCUGAGACGGAGGUGCCUGAGAACGGGCAUGCUAAGGCCAUUGAGGACGCUGAUGCGACCGGCUUGUGGGCUGAAGACGUCAGCCAUUGAAGGCUUGCCGAUGUUCUGCUUCAUCUUCAUGUGGCAGAAUACCUCCUCAAAACCAUUCUGUCCUUGUCGUCCUUGUUGUUGUCUUUCCUCCCUCAUUGACUCUGGGGGCUGGACGAAGUCGAGGCGUCCCUGAACCCUAACGAUCUGUGGCCUGUUGUCGUUCUGUCCCUGGAGCUGUUGGGCGGUCUGUUGGUCGAUGUUGAGAGCAUCGGCAAGGAGUCUGGUGUCGAAGCCGGCAAAGACGUUGUUGUUGUUGUUUCCCUGUUGUUGGUGUCUGAUCUUUCCCUGUUGUCUCGCGAUCGAAUGUCGGCUUUGGCCUUGUUGGGUGAACUCAUCUUGUGGGUUACCAGCAAGAUAGAAUCGCUGCUCAUACAGAUCAAGCAGCCAUUGAGUUAAACGAUUUUGUAACAUUGUAUCCAUAUAUAUAAUCAGGUGUCAGUAAGAAAAUCCAUAUAUAAUUAUAUAUUAUCAAAACGUUGAUAAGAAAAGGUACCCUUGGGAUUUGGUCAAGUUGGUUGUGAAGGUUGCUGGUGUCUUGAAGACAGACGAAAACAAGAGAUUGGUCACCGUCGUUGUAGGACCAGGUUGUGACUCCGGCGGGGACGGCGAUAACGUCACCUUCCUUGACGGGUCGCACUUUCUGGUGUCGGUCUAGCUGUUCGAAGCUCUCUUGUUGUCCCUGUUGGCCUUGUCGGCGUCCAAUUUGCUGGCGACCUUGUUGCCCUUGCCCUUGCUGUUGCGAGCCCUGUAGUUGUUCCUCGUAAGAUUGCUCGGUUUCUUCGAAAGUCUCGGGACAUCCGGGGAUCACCAUUCCUAGUUGACCCCUACCUGAAAUAGAUCACGUAUAAAAGACAGUAAGUUAACCUUGCUCAAGCACAACAUGCAAUUUAGUCAUAAGUUGAUCAGAAAAAGCGACGUUUAGAUAUUACCUUGGACAACGUAAAGGAGGCGAGGACUGUUGGUGUAAAAAGGCAAGUGAAGGCCGUUGCGCUCGACGGUGAUUCUCUGAACGGCGACUCCGGCGCACUGGAAGUCAUCCUGGUUGUAGUCCCAUGACUCGAUCCGACCCGCCUCGGUCUCAAUGCGGUUGUCGGGCUCGCGGGCUUGGAUCUGGUUCAGCAUGCACUCAUUUUGCUGGCUGGACGGAGAUUGUUGGCGAUAGGCUGAGCAGCCAUGAAAGAGAACAAGCAAGCAGAGAGAGAGAGCUAAAGACCUGGCCAUUUUGUAGAGUGGAUACUAGCUAUAGCUACUUGGGUGAGGAAGAGAGUGGAGAGGGGUUGGGAUUUAUAGGGUAGCGAAAGAGGUAAGGGAGGGACACGUACGUUGAGGAAGGGGUUGCAUGUGUAUAAGGCAUCUUCAGCCAUCUUUCUGUUUGCAUGGUGUGAAGGUUUGAAGGGUUUACACCUCAUUUCUGUGGUCUGAGGCAGGUGGCUUUGGUGAAGAAGAAGAUACAAAGUGCAUGGGAUAUAUGUGGCGAGAGGAUGGAGUCUCCAGUAUUGUCCGGAUGCAAACUGAAACUGCUUUUGAAGUUUACUGCCUUAAUUUUGGUAAAUAUGGAGAAAAAUACAUACAGUUUGUGAAAAGUAAAAUAAAUAAAGGAACUCCAUCAACUCAUCUGAACAUUGGGAAUUUGGGAUAAAUAACUAGUUAUCUCGAUCUGAUCUCAGAUAUGCAUGGCCUAAACUUACAUCCUACACUACCAUAGCUGCAAUGUAUAUUAAUACACAUGAAUCUAACCAAGCUCCUUAUAACUAGAAAAUAGAAUUGUUCUUUUUUUUCUUCUUUAAUUUGUAUCUUGGGUAUCAGUACUUUAACUGAUAUAUAACAACUGGAAAACUGUACAACAGCGUCUUGUACGGAAGUGCAAUGUAGGACGUAUUUUAUAUAGGAAAAUUCAAGGUAUUGGACUGUUUGCUAUACAAUGUAUUUUUAAAUAUUUUCGAUCAUCGGUUCUUGAAUUUUAAGAAAUAUGGUAACCGGUUUGGGGUUGUCUACGUAUAGAGAUGUGUAUAUUAUACUCAUUUUACAACUAAUUAAACCAAACUUAUAAUUUAAUGAAAAUAAAUAUACGACGAUGACAACAAACCUACCAGUUGAUUAUGUCAACUCAUUUGAAAUUACUAAUGAAGACACAUAAGCGUAAAAAAUAAUAAUAAUCCUCUUUUUCUUUCAUUACAGUAGUCUUCAUCUAGAAGAAAAAAUUCUUUUCCAACAUAAACACUAACAGAUACGUCGAACUCCAUGGAAGAUAGUGACAUUGUUUUGGAGUAUAUGCACAAUGUAUGAGUUUCUUGUUUUUUUUUUUUUUUUUUUUUGUUUCUUUUUUUGUAUGAAUUCACAAAUGUAUUAUUGUAAUUGUUUCAAUAAGAAGGAAACUUGUUGUCGACUAAGCAGAGUUUGCCCGUCCUAUUACUACAAAGAUUUUGAAGUUGUUUUUUUCUUUGUGUAUACUAAACACUCGUAAAUUUUCUUUAUUCAAAAGAAAAGUGUAUACUGACAAUCUCUUCUCCCUAAUAGAAAUAGCUUUAUGAUAUAGCGGCAAAAGACAAAUCUUGAGUUUUGGAUUUCGUUAUAAGAACUUGAUAAUUUUAUAAGAAAGUAAAUUAAUGGGUUGUUAUAUAUAGAGCUUGAGUAUAUAUACAUGGACUCUUUUUGAUAAUUUUAAGAGAAUGUUCUAGGAUAUUCUGUAUCUUUCUAGAUAUUCUUUAUGUGUGCAUUGGCCUUAUGCCAAUAGGAUAUGUAGUUAGACUAAUUCUAUGUAUUCAUAUCCUUACCAUAUUGGUAUUGUGUAAUUCCCUAUAUAAAGGGCUCAUAUCAAUGAAUAAGAUGAUGAUUCUCUUGCUAUCUCUUUCUCUACACUUUAUAUUUCAUCACGUUAUCAUGCACUUUGUUAUAACCCUAGAGCCAAUAGCCCACCAUUUGUUUUCCAAACCCUAAAAUCUGACAGCCUUGUUUUUCCUGAUUUCCGACCAAAAUUCCGACUGCCCUCUGCCGGAGUUUUAUAUCCCCAGAAAGCUCUCUCCGUCCUGGAUCCAACGCCGCCGGCCUCACCCUGAGAACCGGCCGGAAAGUCUUCGAACCGGCCGCUAGAAGAUUCCAGACCGCCGCCGCUACCGACCACCGGUUCACCACCUUCCCUUGCUCCGAUCAACCUGAAAUUUUGACAGCAGCUUCCCCAUCCAGAGCUGCUCAUUCUGUCAAAUUUUCAGCCCCAAAUUCGAAGUAUAAGUAGGCGAAACGUUAUUUCUCCUCUCGGCAGCCUCUAGAAACCAAAGAUUUCAAGAUUGGUCGUCUUCCAAGGAAACCAGAAAGGUAUGUUUUGAAACCUUAAACUUUUCCAAGUUCAAUAACUCGGGGAGGAUAAAAUCUUUUCCGCCCUUCUCUAUCUCCAUUCUAUGCUUGGGAUUUUGUGUGUGCAGGUACCAAAAAUCCCGGAAUUUUAUUCGCGGGUCAAGAGUGUAUUUGAUCACUCUUGCUUCCUUGUCCAGGUUGUGUAUGAUCAACCCCAACCUUUCUCCGGAUUGUGUUUGAUCAAUCCGAGGCCUUUUCCGAAUUGUGUUUGAUCAAUUCGCGACUUUUUCCGGAUUGUGUAUGAUCAAUCCGAAGGACAAACCAUUAAAAGCAUUGUUUGUGACCUCUAUCGAGUCUCAUAACAGCUUGGUUUUGUAUGCAAGAGCAACGUAACAUUCUGCUCAUUGAGUUUUGACGUACUCGAUACCUAAGACGAAUCUUCGCUUGGUAUCUGUGGAACAUUUCACUGGAAAGGAUUAAACAACAUAUUUUGACCCCCAGGCUAACAAGCCUAGAUGCCGAGAUUUCACAUCUCAUGCGCUCAAAGUCUUUGACGCGCCACAUCGACAAGCCUUCAAUGGCAAUCUGUGUAAAAAGUAAUGACCACAAAGUACUAUGGAAUGCACUCAUGGAGCGUUUCUUGAAACGUCCAUAUAACUCUACUUGUUGAGUUAUUAGUCAAGUGGAUUACUUACCGCCUUAAUUGACUACAUAUUGUCGAUGAUCAUUUGUGGCAUCAUGAUCCAUAACCUUUAGCGGAUUCGAUCAUCAUCAAGUUCUCUAGGUCCUCCAAGUUGGUUUGGAAUUACCAACGAGACUUGAUUUUGAUCAUACAAACGGGAAUUGUAUAUAUACGCUAAUGUGAUAAAUUUAUUUAGGAUUAUCCCCUAAAUGUGGGAACAACAAUAUGGGUCAUGACAACGGCAGAAAACGUCGUGCCGAUGUCUAGAAAAGAGGGGGAGGUGUCACCGGCUCUAAUAGCAACACUCCCGGUCUAGACACCAUUUUGUCAAAACUACUCACGUCAGCUCAUGACAACGCAACCAUUGUGGAUCUUCGGAUCACUGGUUCAAGAUUGUCAAGCUCCUUCAAAUUGUGAAUGCAUACAAAAAGGUAUAGAAAAUCAAUAUGAGGACAAGAACAUCAUCCUCAUGAUCGCGAAUUUCAAAGAUUCGGAUCCUGCUCUAGCUACCCAUGACUUUGACGUCAUCGACUAGACAUUGAUUUUCGUUCCAAGCUAUAUGUACUAAGGCGUUGAGACCUUGAUGUACUCACAUUAGCAAUAACGAAUGCCUUGAGAAUUUUUUCGAAGUUAUAAAACUAUUCUCCUCUUAUGGUUCGUAUUGAUUUACAAACAAGAUUUACAUUUUUACAUCGUCCUUAGAAGCAUGGCAUAUUUACAAUCUACAUGGUUAGAUUGUGCAGUUUUGGUCUCUUCCAAGUGGAGAUGACGCACGCCCUUGCAUCCUUAAGUAGGAUCGCUAACGUGUUUCCGGUUAAGUCUUCUACCCUAUAGCAGAUUUUUCAUCAUCAAUUGUUCAACUAGGCUCAUCCAAGCUCAGUGUGAUGUCUUAGAAUUGCCCGAAAUUAAGGAGAUAGUGGUUUCAAGUGUGCCUCGCACUACCGACCCUCCACGGACAUGCCUGGUCAUACUGACUUGGAGUUACCGAAAGCUUUUGAUUUUGGAUCCCCCUACGCUAUUAAACCAAUUGCCGUCUUGCAAAAGAUGUUGAAGACUUAUCAAAAACCGGAAAAUUAUCAUCAUGAUCUAAUCCUCUAGGUCCUCUGAGUUAGUUUAUGUUCAUGUCAGGGAGAUUUUGCUAACUAGUCAUGGAGUUUACGACCUUAGAAUGACCGAAAGGACUUUGUUUUGAUCAUACACACGUCACUUGUGGCUAAGGCAAAAUCCUACACGCCACUUGCAAGCUUCACAGCUUCGCACAUGCCAAUUCUGCGAAAAACAGCAAUCUGUCCCUUCUGGACAGUCAACUUCGUUUGCGUUUUGUGAACAGCUCCGGACGAACCAGACAAUAAGCUUUAUAUCAUUGGAAAGCUCUAUGAGUCUAGUUUUCAGAACUUUUCGCGGUUCAUCUAUAUCUAUUUUAACAAGGAAGUUAUGGCUGUUUUAGUGCGCAAAAGUCAUUCUGCGCGGAAAUUUUUAUGCACUCUCGGGAUUGCAGCUUUUCGUAGCUUCUUUCAAUCCUUCUAAAUAGUUCAAGUGGAACUAUUAACUAGCCUAUCUACUCCUUCUUGUAGAUAUGUCUCAUCGAGACAUUGAGUGCUUCGCAGAUAGUGGAACUAUCCAUAACAUUCUAAGGAACCGGCAACUAUCUUUGGAUUUUGUGUCUUUGUAAAUCUUCUGUGACUACAAUGAUUGAAUCAUACCGGUCAUUCAAGGACGCGGUUUAGCUUAAAUCUUGAUGCCUCAUGGAACCAUGAUCAAUGUCACAGAUACCCUCUAUGCAUUGAGAGGCAAUCGAACCAUAUUGAGCUCUAAAGACAUUCCUGCUAAUAGUUUUCAUUUGAAAACACAUUGUGAGAAUGAACAAGAAUUCUUUUGUGUAUACCUUCUCAUGAAUGCGGACUGAAGUGCAUCUUGGAGAAAUUCAUGAGUCAAUCUAGUGGACUGUAUGUCACUAUGAUUCGAAUAUGAUUCGAAUAUCGAAUCUCAUGUUGUCACCAAACAUGAUAUUUGGGACACUGACUCAUAUAGGCUUUGGUUUUAACCAAUUAAGGUCAUCCUAGAAGAGAUAUAAUGGUCCAAAUUUUGAGAAAUUCUCAUGGACAUCCAUUCUUCCGCUCAAAACAAAGACAUUCGAGAUCUAGCAUCACCAUGAAGCAUGGUGGUGACCCGGGGGACAUUGACGUCACCCGAACAAGGCUCCAACUUCCCGGAGGCCGUCCGGUCAAUUCCUCAAGCAACUGAGGUGCACCAGCCUUUCCUCGAUGUCGCAUUGGCCCCCUGCAAUGCUUAUUACUCGUUUUGAAAGCCUAUUAUUUAGCUAAAUUAGGAGUGAGACCCUCCUACGCUAAAUAACACAAAAGUGAACAUUCUAUUCUUACAUAAAAUUAUGUAGAUAGAUACAACCAACUUGCGAACAUCUUUUAUGUUUUAUGGUGUUGGUUGAAGUGUUAACACACUGGUCAUGUGUUACACUAUUAUCUACUGCUUAUGUUGCUUAUACUUCUACGGGCUCACUACCCAUUCUUUAAAGAAGUUUAUCGGGAUGUAAGUUGAAGUGUCCUGUACCCCAUGUUCACACGCAAUACGGUCUCACCGAGGCUACGACUAAGCAACUUUAGCUUGUCGCUCGAACAUUAUUGAUGCGCACCAAUCUUUCUAUUGCGUCUUGGGGCUAUACAAUAUUUGCAUGCAGCUUUACUAUUCAUCUACAACUCACCAUCAUUGAAUAUUUUUGUACUACAGCUCGUGACUGUGUACCAGGAUUGCAAUCCUUGAGCUCAAACAAGAUUGAAACGGAUCUCCAAUCCUUGAGCUCAGCUAGAUAUUUAUUCUAGGUGUCAAAUCGCACUGCCACUGAAGGACAAUGAUGGGUCAUUUGAGAUGAAUAAGUAUUUAGGUUGGAUAUGAAUCUCCACCUAUAAUCCGCAUAUGUAGAAACCUUGUCAGACGAUCUCUUUCACCGCUAUAUUGCGGAUUGUCACUUUGAUGAGACAAUAUUCUCGCCGUUAGGGGGAGAUAAGAGCACAAGUGUUCAAGUGGAACGACGUGAAUUGUCGUGGUUUGUCCCCACUAAGUCUCAUCUUGAUCCCAAAUGCUUAAAGUGUUAAAGUGACGAGAUCACAUGCAGCAAAUAUGUCUGUAAGGAUUGAUGUCCUUUUCAAAGGACAUGGCGCGACCAAAAGGUGUUGGUCUUGACGCCAUCACCAUGGAUGGUGAUAUAGUGACGCCAUAUAGUGGCAAAAUUGGUGUCACAAAGCCGUGUGGCUCCCUAAAAGGAAGGAGACCUUUAGGUUCGAUACUUUCUCGCACUAGAAAGAAAACGAGCUUGGCACAACCUGAUCCAUUGAUCAGUGAUACUCAAAUCCGUCUCAUGAAGUCUGAAUUGUGAUUAUCGUUGGGGGACGCCUCAACGUCAAAUCCAAUCCAUAUAGAGAUCUCUACACGUAUUACACUAGUGUACAUGAGGACGUGGGAUAAUGAGUCUACUAUCGAACCACCCUUCGUUGAUGGAUAUCAACUUAGUUGAUUGGCCUAAUGGAAAGAUGUGAUCCAGCAUAACAAAGAGAUAGGUCCUUGGGCAGGUGAUGCCGACACCGCAAGCUAAACCCUAUCAACUAUGCCUUUGUUAGAUAACGUAGUGAGAACAAGAGCUUAGACUCACCUUAUGACGCAAGGUAUCUCACUAACACGCACUGAGAUCGACUACGAUAAGAUAUGCUUUCGUAAUGGAUGUCAUUGAACUCCACUACUUUGUCAGUUUGGUAGUUUCCGAAUAACUGAACAAGCAGCCUAUGAAUGUGAUCGUAAUAACAUCUCUACGGGAUCAGAGAUAUGCAUGAAGGUCUUGAACAGACUUCAUUCAUCCAAAUCAAGUGGCUCCAGACCACAGGAGCAUGUGUUUGCUAAAUGUAUUGAAACGCACAUGGACUCCACUUGAUUUGGAAGGGAUAUGGUGAAUUAUGCAUUUGCGUGUUCAUUCAAGAUUUACAUGGACUCUUGAUGGAUCAAGAGAUGCCAAUAUGUAUCAACAUCCGAAGAAAAAGAUCUUGGGAAGACACGGUCUCGAUAAGACACUCGAUGACUGUAUUGAUGAUGAUUUUUCAUCAAUCGGCUUAGGUGCUCUAACGAAAGUGAGGCCUACAUAUACUCCCAUGAUUAGUCAAAGUCUUUACUCUAAAGAGAGAUCCGUUGUUUUGUCUAAAGCAUGAUGACAAAUAUGUGUUAAGAGAUGGAGUUCCCAUCUAAGUACAAUUAGACGCAUCAAUGUACUCAACACAAUAUGAAAGACUUGACAUCUCAUUCGCUAUGAAAAGUUGUAAAGCUAAGUAUAGUUAUGCGCCCACGUAACGCCAAUGUAAUGGCAGUAACUCUUUUUUCAAUACUUAAUGGUAUGAAAGGUUGAGGCUAAUUCUAUCCCUACAUAAGAAAGACACAUCAAUAGCGAAAUCAAAAUCUGCCAAGUUUCGUAGGUCAACUUCCACGGGACCUACAAGAAAUCUCACUCACUAGAAAAUGGUGAAAUUGGUACCAUUGGAAAGUUCUAUGUGUCUACUUUCCAGGGACACCAACCAUUUGUUCAUACCUAUCAUAUUGAGUGAGUUAUGGCCGUUUUCAUAAAGUAUGACGAAUCUGUCCGAGAAUCUGAUUUUGGCAAAACAGUCAACUUCGACGGGACUUUGUGAAUAGCUCCUGAUGAAUCAGAACAUGUGUAAUAUACAGUUGGAAAGCUAAAUGAGUCUAGUUUCCAAAACCGUUUACGGUUCAUUCAUAUGUAUUUCCUAGAGGAAGUUACGACUGUUCUAGUAACUGAAGGUCAUGCUGCGCGGAAAUCUGAUUUCCUGCACAAACUUAUGUUUUGAGUUCACAAGCGGCCUUCUCCUCAAGAUCUAAGUGUAAAAGAUCAUUUGAGGACAAUACGGCAUGAUUUAGUUAAUCAUUGCCUAAUGCCACAUUUGAAGACAUGUUAAAGAGCAUUGACAUGCUAAGUUGUUGAAAUUUCCGUGAUUAGUAAAAAUCAGGAAUAGCCCUAUGAUUGAUGUAAAGAUCAGGGGGAGGUGCAAACUUCAGGGGGAGUCUAGCACAUACAUACAUGUCACUAUCAAAUGUGAAUGGUGCGUUGUACUCUUUUUCUCCUACGAUCAAGGUUCAGUUUUUCUCCCACAUGGUUUUUGUGACUUGACGAGGUUUUUAACGAGGCAACAGAUCAGCACCAUCGGCAUAUCAGAGCGGCACAAGGGGGAGUGUUCUAGGAUAUUCUGUAUCUUUCUAGAUAUUUUUUAUGUGUGCCUUGGCCUUAUGCCAAUAGGAUAUGUAGUUAGACUAGAUCUAUGUAUUCAUAUCCUUACCAUAUUGGUAUUGUGUAAUUCCCUAUAUAAAGGGCUCAUAUCAAUGAAUAAGAUGAUGAUUCUCUUGCUAUCUCUUUCUCUACACUUUAUACUUCAUCAGAGAAUAAUGUUUUUCUUGAUUUUAUUGGACUAUGGGCGUUCUGGGAAAAUUGAGGAGGUGUAUAUAACAUUUUAGUUAUUUGUAAAAGUAAAUUUGAGGUCCAUUAAACAAGAAGAUCCAACAGCCGUUUUUAGAGAUAUAAAUAGAACCUCCCAUGACGGAAUGAUAUUACAGUGAAGUUGAAAAAAAAAAAAAAAGUCACAAUGUGCUUGACCUAUAUAUAUAUAUAUAUAUAUAUAUAUAUAANNNNNNNNNNNNNNNNNNNNAAAAAAAGUAAAAACUAACAUAUGNUNUACUACUAUAUAUAUAUAUAUAUAUAUAUAUAUAUAAACCAUACUUUCUUGUAUCAUCUUCAAAAAUAAGGUUCAAAUUAACAGCUAAACAAAACAUCGAUUAUCGUACGUUAAUGUUUCCUUUAGUUAUAGACUACUAGCAGAAAUCCGUAAUAUAUAUAGCUCCACAAUAACUAGUAGUGAAGUAUCUACGUGCAUGCAGAGCUAUCUAUUUGUUCUGUACAUGGGAAUGGUGGGUUUGGCUUUAUACCGAUAAAGAACUCUCCUGUCCUUGAAAUUCCAGUUCUCAAAGGUCACGAAUAUCUUCCCUGGUUCACUAAAGUAGAAGGAGUUUCUCACACUCUCUCCUUGCAGUCUCUUCUUGUCUUGGAUUAGAAUGUUGUACGACCCUUCAUCAUCAGGAAGGAACUCUUCCUUGUACAACACGUCCCAUCCCACCACAGUUAGAUCCCACACCAUUGUCAAUCCACCCUAAUCAAAUGAAAACACCCCAAAAAAUGAAAAUUAUUAGUUAACAACAAGAUUCAACUCAUCAUUCGAUUAAACACGCGAUUAAUGACGAGAAUUAGUACCUCAACAACUGGAAUUUCAAUAUAGUUGAUUGUGUUUGCUUUGAUUAUGAGCUCAGAUACUUUGUCCUCUGGUGUGAACUCAUCAUCUUGCUCUCUUUUGAGGCCACCAUAUUGAACUGGGAGUUCUUCUGGUUCUAUGAACCUUUUUUUUCAUAAUCAUUUCCAUGCAAAGUAACUUGUGUAUUAGAGACACGGAUGAGAUACUAAUGUAAUUGGAUAGUUUCAAUUUUUUGAGUAGUAAUCUCACUCACUUGAGAAGGGUCUUUGUAACCUUUUGGGAUCUAGCAAAGAUGAACGUCUUCUUAGUUCUGUGACUUAGAAACCUUGAUCGGAGCACAUGAGACACAUAAUACCAAAGUGGAGCAUUGAUAACAAUCUGCCAGUGGAAAGCAAGAAAUUAACAUAUACCACAUUGUAAUUAGCAAGUGCAGAGUUUUGCUACUUACAUUCUUUUGAAUGAGCUCAGGAUAGUUGUCCUGUAACAAGAGCAGAGUUUUGCUACUAAGCGAACGAAGCUCCUUAAAAUCGGGGCCUGGGGAAUCCUUCAAAUCCGUAAUCUGAACCAUCGAAUCAACCCCUCUCUUGAAGUUGAGCUUCUUGAUUCCCUUUUCAAUGAAUUGAACUCUCCACCUCAAAAACUGUUGGCGUCUUGCUUCAGACCCGAAUGUUUUCUUGUACAAGUCUUUGUCCUUGAAAGGUCCAUACGAAGUGUAACACAAAGGGUGGCCAUCUUUGUCUCUACUAUUUAUGCACACCACGUCUUCAAGACCAGAGACUCCUAAAUCUUCUUCCAGAAUUUCAUCAGUCCUGAAUUCUUUUCGCCAUUUCAGGGUUCUUUUCAGCAUUUCAAAUGCGUCGCUGGUCUUGUAAUCCCGGGCUUUCAAGAAUUUGAGGAGCAAAACAUCAGUGCCUUGAUGGCCUUUGCUUGGCAACAAAGGCACACCCCAUAGGGUAAUCUCCUUGAGUUGUUCUUUCUGCCUCAAGCUUUCAUUUCGGCUAAUCCUUCUGCUGGGUUUUCCGAGAAUGUAAUUCCCCAUAAUUGCAUCUUCAACUCUGCACCGGAAUUCCAUCAAGGCUUUCCUCUUCUUCUUCUUCAUUGACGCAGAAGCAGCUUUGGUUUCCUCAUCAUCCUCUAUAGCUCUACGUUCAACAUCUUCUUCAUCACUAUCCGGACAUAAUUCCCGGGGGCUUUCCAAGAUGUAGUCAUUAGGCUGAUCAUAAUUUCCCAGAGGCGAGUCAAGCUCUUGCUCUCUGCCCUGGUAAUUAGCUUCAUUUUUCAUUUUGGGUCUCCUGAUCAUUCAUCUCCCAUUGUCAAAUAUAGAGGAGAUUGAAAUCCCCGGCAUUCAGAGUUUCCGGGGAAACUGAAUAUUGGUGGUGCUCGGAUUCAAUGAUGGGGAGUUGAGAACGACGAACACAAAAAGUUUACAUCUUUCCUUUCUCUAUUACCUCAAGCUCAAGAAAGGCCUGGCGCCAAAUUUAGGUUGGACAAUCGUAGUAACUAACGGUGAGAUUGGAACAGGCUUUUUUACAAGUGUUUUAAACUUUUAUCCCCAAUUCAUCGGGCUUGGCUGGCAUACAAUUAGUGGUUGUUGUAAAUAGAUUAGGUUCCAAAUGCAAGUCAAAUUUAGUAUUUGAGUUUCAACACUAAACCCUUAAUCCAACUCGUUGCCUAACAAUGUGCAAGAAUCACUGUCCAAGUCAAAAUUUUGCCUUGCUGGGAUAAGGGAUCUAAGAACAUCUCCAAAAAAGAGAUAGAAAAACACAAUUGUACAAAAGCAACACCAUGGAAACGGUGUUAUGUCGUAAAGGUGCAACAAGUUAUUCAAGUUAUUAGAUUUGCAAAGGUCACCAUCUGUCCUCAAAAAAGGUCACAAACUGAUCUCCACUGUCCUGGUAUGGGAGGCAUUGACAAUAGAAUGAGAAGAACGAAAGAAAAGGGGAACAACUUACAAGCUAAUACUAAACAGAUGGUUGCUGGAGAAAGAAAAGAGACAAUGGCUGAGAUUAAUCCUCUACAUUCUGGGAAGUUCGAUGCAUUAUCUUGUCCUCCUUGACUAAUUCACAACCUGUAGCAGUGAUUUUUACAUCCUAAUACAGCGAAACCUAACUGCUGAUUUCCAUGCCUAUGAAAAGAAUGUAACCUGAACGGCCGUUGAAAUCUUGUAAUCAUAUUUACAGUGAAAUGGGAUGUGAAAUGAUUGAUCUGUAUCUAUAUAACAAGUCAUUAUCCAACUGCAGACUGGGAGCUGCUGCAUUACUCCUCUCGAAAUCUAGUCAAGUCAAAUGACAUGGUUUUGGAACAACUGCAAUAACAGCAGCACAAUUAGCGCGUUAAGAAACUAUAAUAUAAAUCCUCAAGAUAUAACCAUGUGACGUGCUCAAAUUCUUGUCUGAUGCUCACCUCAUGUCAGCGUCCCUGAAAACCCCAACCAGAGCUUCAGCCUUGUCAUAGAAGCUAUCUUUUAGAGAUAUUACAAUACUCUGAAAACCAUUGCCUCCUUCCGUAUCCUGGUUAACCCUGGCUCCUUGGCAAGACUUUGAACGGAUGAAUCGAGCAACUUUUGCUACAUUUAAGUUAUCCAGUGCAGCAUCAACUUCAUCCAGUAUGAAGAAAGGCGAAGGCCUAUAGCUGAAGCAUUCAUGAAAACAAAUGUGGAAAAACAAUUAAUUACAGGCUCUUAUCUACAGUGUAAAAGAGUAGAAACCAAAAACUAGAACAAAACUUUCGUAGUGGAACAGCGUACAUAUUGGUGAAAGGAAGACCAAAAGCCAGAAACUCCACAAUCCCCACCCAAAAAUAUUCAUAACUAUUGAAGCAUGUGCUCUAUGUAUCUACUGCAAGGCCUACCCAGAAUCUUUUGUUCUUGGAUGUCUUUAAAGGUAAACACUAUAUAUGAUUAACAUAUACCUGUGUAUGGCAAACAGUAAUGCUAAUGCUGCAACAGUUUUCUCUCCGCCAGAUAAUUGUUCCAUAUCUCGAAAGCGCUUUGUUGGGGGCAUAGUAGUGUACUUGACGCCAUGUAGAUAUGGAUCAUCUUCAUUUUCUAAAUUCAAAUAUGCCGUCCCACCAAGUGGAUGUGUAUUGCUCUUCGUCAGUUGCUUGUAUAUCUUAUCAAUAUUACUAGAAAUAUGGUUGAAGGCAUCCAUAAACUUCUCAUACCUGCAUUGACCAAAUAAACCAUUACAAUCAAAUGUCAGGGAAAAAAUAGAAAUCAGUUGCGUAGUGGGCAUAUUUGUCACUUACGUGAUGAUUUCUUUCACUUUCUGUCGACAGUAAACAUUGACCAUUCCUAUUACUAGUUUCUAUCCAUAAAGUUUGUCUUACGAAACCCAAUAAUGUGCAAUCAUGUAUAGUCAACUACAUUAUGAUAAUUAGACAAUCCAGUAGCAGUGUAAAAGCAAUCAAUACCUGCUUUGCUUAACCGAGUUAAACAGAUCAGCCUUUUGCUUCUGUUCUUUUCUGGCCACUUCAAACUCUGCAGUUAUAUCUCUUUCCUUUUCUUGUAGAGCCUCAUAUUGGUCCAUGGCCUUCAAAUUGGGAGCUGUUCUUUCUAUUUCUGAUAGCUUGGCAUCCAUUUGUUUCUUAAAGUCUAACUCGACUUUCUCCCGCUCAGAAGGCCUCCUAUCUCUCAAUAGAGACUCAUCUAACUCAUCAAAAUCAAAUACUGGGCCCGUUGUGGAGGAGUCAGUCUCCAUUGGAUCUGAGAUGAUAGGAAGGCUUAUUUGCUGAAGUUCACAAUUUUCUACUAUCUCCUGCUUCCGAGAUGUUAGCUGCUCAAUCUGAGUUUCCUGUAAGGCACGAAAAAAAUGUUUAGGGAUUCAAAUUAACAUGGUACAGAAGUGUCGCAAACAAAACCAAAUGCCAACCUUAGAAUUUAUCUGUCGAUUAAGUUUGGAUACAUUUGUUGUAGCAGUAGAACCCCGCUUGUUCCAUUCUUGAAUUUCCUUUUCACACCCUUCCGACUUGGAUUUCCACUCUACAUUAAUAGUGAGAGAUACAACUUUAUGAACUAAAAAGAAAGGAUAAAGUGGGUUUGCGACUCGUUUGAACAACUUGGGAAAAAGACAGAAAAAGAACAACAACCAUGAGAUCAAGUCCCGCGCUCAAGGCCUAAAAUCUGAGAAUUUAAGUUCUCCAAAAAAAAUACAGUACCAUGCCGAACUUUUAUCAUACCUUGUGCAUCUUCCUUCAACUGCUCAAUCUCAGCAGAGGCUUUUUCAGCUGCAGAGUUGGCUUCAAAUUCUUUCUUUUGAACCCAUUCUAAAUCUUUUUGUAGAUUACUAAUAGAUGAUUGGAGUUCUUCAAUUCGUGUAGCCAUGUCCCGAUUUUGCUCAUACUCUAGCCUGAAAGCAAACAAAGACCAGUAUUUUACCAUAAAAUAUGAGCAAGUGCCAAAGCUGUCAUACAACAAGUACACCAGAAACAAUAGUGGUGAAACUGGGCAGAUUGUUUGGGUUUGAUAUUUGAGUACUUCAAUAGAACCUGUGGUCAAUCUAAAAAGUUAAAACAAAAUUUUCAAAGACUUUACAGCCCUACAAAGAACUUGUAACUGGACAGCGUCAAACAUCUCUCAUCUUUAGUGAUCACUGCUUUCUAAAAAAGUCGUGUGAUAAUAGACACGACAGCGUUCUUUAAAGAUGAUCAAGACACAUCAAAAAGAAUAUAUGGUGGGGAGCGAGGAAAACCAACUGACUAAUUGGCCCAAUACUUGUAGUUGGUUGUUUCCUCAGUCAAAGUACUUGUAGUUCAUCAGAAUGUUAAAGCACAAUUUGAAGAUGCAUAAAUGCAUGCACAUUCAUACAAUAGUGUGGGAAUCAAUGAUCAAGUUAUAUAUCACAUAAUUCAUGCAUGUGUCCAACAUAAUAUACACAACUCACAUUCCACUGUAUGCCCAAAAUAAAAUAAUUACCAACAUACAACAGUAAAAUUGACAAAAGAUAAAAUAUAGGGAAGAACAUACUGGUAUUUCAAUUUUGAUAGCUGGCUACUCAAACUAAGCCUCUCUUCAGCCAUAGAUUGGGAAACCUUGAGUUGUUUUUCUUCAUACUCACGAAUGUUAUCUACCCCAACAGAUUUACUAAAGCCUUUGUAGAGUCUGUCAACAAUAUCAUUUAUCCUCUUCUCAAGCUUAUUGAUUUCUGUGCUCCGCUUAUCUACAGCUUGUUUUAGCUGCAAUCAUUUUUAAAACUGCUGUGUGAAACAAAAUGCUAGAAUAAGCUAGAGAAAACAGUAAUCAGGGAAAUACCUUCAGAAGAUCAGGACUGAUACGAUCAAUCUCUUCUUUUAUGUUCUGCCUCUCCCGCGCCAAAUUUGCAAGUUUGUCCUUGAUGCUUUUCUGUGAAAAAACUCAUCUUAGUUUUGAAUCCACUAGAAGGAACCUCAUGUUUAGCUUAAUUAAGAUAUAUCAAAGUAAAAGACUGAAAAACUAUUCACCCACCCUCCCACACCCAAAGCACAAAGGAAAAACUAAAAUAGAAUAAAUAGCAUUCAUCUCCACUUUAUAAUUAAAAGACCAAUACCAACCCUUCCCAUCAAGUCUAAUUCAUCUUAUUUGAUAAACCACACACAAGUGACACAACCAGACAUAAAACAGCUUCAAAGUUCAACCUGCAUCUUCUAGAUUUGGUGUCUGGGUAUGGAUAUAAAACUACCUUACCUGUAGAAUAGGAGUGAAAAAAAAAAGAUACAAGUAAAUCCUUGCAAUUACCUUCUCAAUAUCUGCAUAUUGGAUUUUCUUAUCAAGCCCACUAAGUCUGCCAGCUGUUUCAGACUCUUUUAGCUGCAUCUCUCUAAUUGACCCAAGCUCUUCUAGCUCCAACUCAAACUGUUCUUUCUUCUUCUUCAGUCCUAAACAACAAACAGUUAAACCACAUCAAAAAUUACCAGACCAAAAUUCAAAUGACAAUACAGCAAUUCAAAACUCACCUUCGACUUUUUUAUCAUCCCACUGUUUUGACCUAGCUUCCAUUCCUCCACUGGUACCACCAGUCAUUGUGCCAGAUUUUGACAGCAUAAUUCCAUCAACAGUUACAACUAAUUAAAGGGGGAAAGAGAAAAAAAGUUAGAUGCUGGCUAAAUAAAAACAUGCCUGACACAGAUACUUAACGAUAACAAAGUUGAACGCAUUACCUUUGAACCUCUCACCACUCCAGCUUAGGCGCUUAGCCUCAUCAAGUUCGUCACAAACGAGAGUAUUGCCAACCGCAAAGAGAAUAGCCUUCUCCAAGGCAUGAUCAAAUGUAUGGUUGUUAAGUAGACAAACUAAUAGCACCUCUUCGUAGAUUCUCAUGCAGAAAAUAGUUUUCUUACAAACAGAAAAACAUACAAGGAAUACAGGCAACAUACAUCAAGGACAGUACAUAGCAUAGUGAUCAGGAGGAUGAUCUAAAACAAUAGCUAACCACGAAAUGAUGAAGGUGUGAGCGUGCUUCUAUGCAUUAACAUGUUCCAUCUAAAUAAAUGCAGAGACGAUACUAAUCUGGAUGAUUAUACUCAAACUCUUUGUGGGAGAAAGCCAGAGGAAUGAUGAGUUACAUGAAGAAAACUUGUGCCAUAAAUGGAAGAAAAGAAUGAGAACAGAAAAUCAUCCAAGUUGAAAGGGAAAAGAAUUAAAUAAUUUUUUUUAAAAAAAUCAACAAGAAUAAAACACAUAAUGGGAUCCUAAUGCAAGUCUAUAAUAGAACACAAGUUGUUCAAUUUUUUUAGUUAUUUAAAAGUUCCAUAAUUUCUUCUAGAAAAAUAUAUGUUUUCGAUAACCAGAGUUCCACUACCCAAAAACAAUAAUGCACCAGAAAUUAGCAGCACUAACCGGCCCAGAUCAAAGAUACUCUCUUACUGCAUAUGAUGGAAAACAUGAAAAUGUAAUACAACAUAUAUAUACACACACAAAAAUAUAUGUAGUUAUGUAUAUAGAUCAAUCACACAUAACAUCUCUGCCUAUUUCUAUGCAUACAAAUAAAGAGCUAUACAAUGUGCACUACACACAUCCUUUUCACACAGACAUGCAUGCAUGCAGACAAACACCAACAAGAUUACACAAAAAUGUAAAUCUUCAACUACAGAGUUCGGAACAAACAAAAGUUUGGACACUAAACCAAUGUAGGCUUUUGUAGAAGCAAAUAUCAAGAAAAUAACACAUAGAUUUUAUUUGAUCUCUACUGUACCGUAAGAUGAUAACCAUGACAAAGAAUUAUUGAAUUUUUGCUCUCAAGAAAGCAUGAUGAAAGGAUAUUGAACAACAUCAAAAACCAGCUUUGCAGUACCACCCAAGUUACGCAGUCUCUCCAUUACUUGCUUUACACGAACAGAUUGGAGAGGUAUGAAUGUCUGAGGAGGAAGCCUUUGUUCUUUCAAAUACUGCAGAAAUGCAAGGAUCAGUAUCAGAACCGCAUUCACAUGAAUGAUAUAAUAUUCAAACUUUGUCAACAUAUAUUUCACAUUGGUACCCCAAGUAAUCAAUAAAACUGUCCGUAUCAUUAGAUAUUUCAAUAUUCAAACACACAAAAAACCAACAGACUCAAACAGGAUAAGAGAAAGAAAAAAAAUUAAAUCUCUUGAUUUUCCUAUAAUCUAUUUUCUUUAUUUUUAUUCUGAUUGCCUUGCAACUACUGUGAUGUGAAUAAUCAUUAUAAAAAUUGAGAAUUUAAAAUCUUAAUUUUACCAAUGAAAUAAGGAAGGCAAUCUUAACAAGCUAGUGUAAGCAUUCUACAAGAGCGAAAAGAUGAGAACAUAUAUCACCUUGAUACACUCCUUUCCUGUUUGUUCAUCUUCAACUACGACUGCAUCCAUAAAUUUUCCCAUGGCAACAGUGACAGCAAGAUUAUACUUCUUUUGUGUUGGCCUACAGAGUUCAGUCAUGCGACCAUGGACACCCUGAAACAAGCGCUUGAGAGUCUCUACUGCCUGAGACAACCUGGAAUCCCUCUCAUUCUCAUAUCUAUCGGCCUUCAGUUCACGUAAUUGCUUCUCUAAUUCAUCAAUUUUUGACUUCAAAUUUUCAUACUUCUGUCUGUAUAUCCAUAAAAAGGAUAAUAGUAAACAUACAAAUCAUCACAUUUUGCUAGUGUCUUGUAAAAUAAGUAAAUAACAACCUAAAGAAGAGAAAAGAAUGGAGAAAUUUAAUCAAAUGAAUAAAGGGGAAUGAGAAGCACCAGGCAACACAUGCCAAAACCUUAGCAGAACGUAUGAAUGACUCUUAAAAAGCAUAAAUUUAAAAAAUAAAAAUAAAAAAAAGCAAGCAUACAAGCAAGUUGAAUAACCUGGCAUUCUGAUGUUUAUCCUUCAUCACAAGCAAUUCAUUAUUCAGACUUUUUACUUCCUCUCUGUGUUUUGCAGAGUUAUCUUUAAUGUUUUUCAGCCUUGUCAGCAUUUGCUUAUUCUGUGAAUCCAGUUCACUCUCCCUACUUCUCAACUGUUCAAGAUUUUCUUCCAAAUUCUUUUGAGCUUCAAGAUCAGCAUGCUGUUGCCGAUCCAGAACCUCUUUCUCAUCUGUUAGCUUCGCAGUUUUCAUCCCAGCAUCCUCCUUCCUGUGACAUCAGCAUACCAUUAAUAUUUACAAAGCCUAUCAAGGAGAGCCUCUAAAUCCUAAGUUAUAUGGUCCAGUGAAGGUAAUUUAGAAAGUUCAUGAAGAUCGAAAGGUAGGCAGGAAACUGACUUCAAUUCUCAGCUCAAAAUUGAAAAGUAACAUGGCUUUUGGUUAAAGAAACAGAACUUCAUCUUUAAAACGUAAGGAAUGGGACACUAUCAUCACACUGAGAUGCAGUAAUAAAAUUAAACAGAGAUUACCAAACACUUACACUUUAAAAUAUUCCCUCAAUUUAGUAUCGUCUAACUGUAAUUUUUCACCACCGUCUCGUCCUUUUUCAUGUAAAUCCUCUAGUUGAGUGGUCAAAUCUUGGAUGCCCUUCUGCAGCUUUUUAAUUUCCUCUUUAUGUCUCUCCCUUUCUUUUUCUUUCUUACCAAGCUCAGUCUUACUUUUCUUGAUUUUUGAAUUUAUACGAGACAUUUCCUCUUUCAGUUUCAGCAGCUCUGGUUUCUACAAAUACGAAACCACAUCAAACAAUUCACUGUAUGUCCUCUUGAUCAAGCAUAAGAUCAAUUAUAUUUACAGAAAAGUAAAGGCCAUUUAUUUUAGAACGUCAGCAAAACUAGCAAUAUAACGGAAAAAAAUUCACAAGGACCCGUUCAUUCACCCACAGCAGCUAUACGAGACAGUCAGAUACUCUUAUAUUAUAUAUGUAGGUUGAACGAACACGGUUUCGCUAUAAUAAGUAAAAAUGUAAAGAUUUAUGUUAUAACUUCUCUUAAGCCUCGGUCAUUUGAGGGUCUAACGGAGACCAACUCAGUAACAAAAAAGCAAAAUGAAACUCAUGGUAUUGGACACAACUAUCAAUGAAAUUUCAAUCUUCUGUCCAAGGCAAAGAAACUCACGCUUUUGUCGAGUUUAUUACUUCUCUCGGCAAUCUUCUUCUCACAUUGGGCAAUCUCUUUUAAGUACUUGUUGAGUUCUUUCUUCUUUUUGGUUGCUUCUUGCUGAAAAUCAUCUAGUUCUUGCAUAACCUGUUCACGGUUUCUCUUUUCAGCUUCAAGCUCAUUAGUCGUUUUUGUUAUAUCUCUUUCUAUGUUGAACAACUGCCACAAAAAAUGUUCUCUCUUCAAAGAUUUCUGCAAGAAAGAAUACAUGUGAUUUUAGUAUUACACAGAAUCAAAGUUCUUAAGCAGAAGAUUCAAAGACAGGAGCAUACACCUAUUGAGCAUGUAAAAGAAACAAAACGUCAAUACCAAAAUAGUCUACAGGGAUAAGAGUUUGAUAUAUUAAAGACAGAUCCUAUAUUAGAUUUAAUCUACAUGUGUGAAUGCACACAACCAUGUGGAUGCAAGAUUCAUAGUGUGUGCGUAUUUGCGUGUGUGCGUGCAAAAGAGAUAAAAGGGAAAUGCAAUAUGCGAGACCCUCUUUCCUGAAAGUGAGUUCCUAGUAUCUACAAUAUCUUUUAAAGUUACAUGAUAUCUUUCAUGCAGGCACUUGUACAAUUAAUUACAUAAUUUCACCCAACACGGAUAAUUGAAACAAGCAGGAUAGACAUACGAACAACCCCGAUAAACAUAAUAUACAACAUAUGCAUAUUAUUGUGUGCAUAUAGACAUAUGUAACCAUUAACCAGUAAGCACGGACCAAGUAUGUGUAUAAAUAUAUAUACACACACACACAGCAAGUACGUGUAUAUGUAUGUAAAUAGAAAAAGAACGUUGAGGUACAAACCAGUUCAUUUUGCAGGCGAAUAUGCUUCUCAGCUUCUUCCUUUUGCUCUUUCUUUUGCUUCCUCUCCGCUACUAUGGUCCUCUUUUUCUGAUAAACAAGUGCUGCUUUUUCUUCAGCUAUGCCUUUCUCUUCUUCGUACUUUUCAUAGUCUCUCUUGAAGUCAUCUGACCCUGAGAUCUGCUCAAGCAGUGCAGUGAGUUCCUUAGGAUUUUUAGAGGCAAUGGACUCCACAUCACCCUACGGAGAAAGAAAUAAUCAGUAAUUAAAAGUGACCCGGUUACUGCCAAGAUAUGCAAACAUCAAAGUCACCAUAAAAGCAGCAGUCAUCUAUUUGUCUAUGAAAAAUAAUGCAAAUGAGUAGAGAUUGCACGGUUAGCAACUUCUGUGAAUUCUCGUUUUUUCCCUUUUAAUUUUGGUUUGGAUGAACAUGUUUCCAAAUUUAAUAAAGAUGUUCCAACGCGUCACUACACCGGAGUGCCCAAAUAAGAGUACACAGAGCCUGAAUUCAACAAUGGGUGGCAAGACAUUUACGUUACCUAACCCAACACCUUCAACUUCGCAAACGAAAUGUGCAAUUGGCGUCAGAGACAUUUUCGAUAUUCAAUAAUUAACUAACGCAAGGUGUGGCCAAUAAAUGUCAUUGAUGUACCUUCUCAUUCUAUUCUCAUUCAAAACCUCUGCUUCUUAGCAAACAUACUCCCUAAAGCAUAAUCAAUGAAAACAAUUCGACAUAGAAAAGCUAAAUUACGAGUAUCAAGUAAUCGAAAUCAACCUGAAAAACAAGAAAAUUGCGGGCCUUGACCAGAAUUCCCAACGACUUAAGCUUCUCAGUAUAAGUAUCCGCCGUCACCGACCUGCCGUCGAUGCGGUACUCACUGCCGCCGGAGCUAGUGAUGGCCCUGGUGAACUGGAUCUCGGACUCAUUGGCAAGCUGAUAAACCAAGGUCACGAACGCCCGGCGUCCCUUCUCGGUCUUCUCGCUGUCGUCCAUGGCGUAGAUCAGGUCCUUGAGCUGGGACCCACGGAGCUGGCCGGUCUUGACGCCGAGGACGAAGCUGAUGGCGUCCAUGAGGUUGGACUUGCCGGAGCCGUUCGGGCCGAUUAUGGCGGUGAAGUCGGAGAAGGGGCCGAUGACCUGGUGGCCGCGGUAGGACUUGAAAUUCUCGAGCUCGAGGCGGUGGAUUUUGCCCUGGGAGAUGAAGGACGGCAUGGCUUAGGGUUUCGGGGAGUUUGAAUCGAAGCUAGGGUUUGGGGAGGAGGUGGAAUUGAGCGGAGUAAAGGAGAGAGGAGAUGAGGGGAGGGGUGGCCGGAGAGAUGAGGAGGGGAGGUUUCCGGCGAGAGGGGAGGGAGGAGUGGAGGCGGAGAGGAGGGGAUUGGGGAUUUUGAGGUGGGAAUUGGCGGGAGAUUGGGGGAGUUUUGGGGAAUUUUAGGGAGGGUUGGUGAUUUGAGUUGCCAUUUUCGAAGUGAGAAAAAGUAGGAGACCGCAAAGAGUGAGCGCUUUAGUAGAGAGUCGAAACGUUUCGCUUUGGGCAAGAGAAUGCUAUUAUUUUUAUUUGCAGUUUAGUCCUUAAGGUUUUCUUUAUUUUCGUUUUGGCCGCUAGUUGGGUCAAGAUUUUACUUUUUUCUUCUUGUCUGAAUUCAAUAUGUGGAAAUUCAGUAGUUAGUUUCUUACCUUUCUGACUUUAAUCUUGUUUGAUCAAAACAAAAAACAAGCUCUUAUGAACUUUCAAUAGUCUCAUAAUAAUGUGUAUCAAUGAAGAAUGAAUCUAAAAAGGGGAUCAAUAGCUACUUAAAUUAUUGUUAAGAUUAUAUGAUAUGAUGUUAGAUUAUAGAAUCAUAUCACAAUAAAAAAUUGUAAUUUAAUAUUACUUGGAGAAUCAAUAUAUAAUCUUAAUUUUAGCGUAGAUGGUUAUUGUCUUUAUUGAUCCACCCAAAUCGAGAUCUAGAAAGAUGAAUGUCAAGGAGCUUUGGGGGGAAACUGGAAAGUAGGGGAUUGGCGGGAGAUGAAAUUUGUAAACUGCAGAAUAAAACUGCGAUAAUAUAAAAUUAUGAAGAAUGGGCUUUUCUAUUCAAAAAAAAAAAUUAUGAAGAAAAAAAUUACCAUGGUCAAUUGACUUUCCUAACAAAAAACAUCACAAAAAAGGUGCAACCAAGGCAAAGGCUAUGAAUAGGGAACAAAUCAAGUUGUCAUUCUACUUUCAUAAUGACAGUACGUCUUUAUAUCGUUGCGGUACGGUUCUUGCACUCGGGAAUUUCCAACAAGGAAAGCGAAGAGAAACCGGCAUAUAAGUGAGGAGAGAAUCCAGAACAUAUACUACACCAGAGAACGGUACAUAGACAUGUCAAGUAAGGCAAAGAAACUACUCAUCUGAAAAUGAAAAACAGAAAAAGACAGUAGCAAGAUGCACAUACAUAAAAAGAGUUUAGCAGAAGGGGCUUAUAGAAUGGAGACAGCUUCCACAAAAUAGUUUUGCCCCCACCUGAAGUCCACAUUCCAUGCUUAAAAAGUACCGAGUAUGAUUACAGAAUGGUUAAUUACUCUGAACAACAAUCAAAGAAAGAGACUCCUAAUGGACAAGGAUAUCCUGCUAGUAAGAAGUCAUCUGGAUGGAUGAAGCUUCAUCAAUGACCAACUUUUUCACUGCUAGACGAAGUGCCGUCUUGUACAGAAUCCGCUAUUUUGGUUUCACUAGGAGUUCCCACAGGCGCAGAUGGGAUGACUUCAGAAUAAAUGGAAUAUUCAGGCAGUAUACCGCCACGGUUUUGGAUGUCAUCUAAAUCCUCACGCUCAGGGGGGUUUGAGUUUCCUGGCAGUUCUCCAUGAUUUUGAGCCGGCACUUCUGGCACCUCAGGUCUGGUGGCAUCCGGAUUUUCAAGCUGUUGGCCUCCAGAGUUUUGGGAAGCUUCCAACUCCUCAUACUUGGAAAUAACUUGUUGAAGUUCUUCAUGAAGAUAUAGAGCCUCAAAGAGCAUACUUUCAUCAUCAGUAGUGGUUUCUAUAAUCCUCUGAAUAACAGGCUGAGACUCCUUGCACUUUUCCAGCAUGUUCAUCGUUAGUUCUUCCUGCAAUCAAGCAAGCAUUUCCACCAAGUUACAUAUCAUCUUCCGCUCACAAGUUGAUCUUUGGAUUAGGUAAAAUAUGGAAAAAUAAUCGUAGGAAAGGUCAAAUACUAUCUAGAAGAAUUAUUAUCAUGCAAUAUAUAAUCAUAUAGGAUAACAGCGUACAGGCAAACCUAGCCAUAGAAGAAUUACAACCGCUCUCCCUUACGGUCUGUGCUCAUAGUCAUAAUGCACGGAACAUGAAAAUUCUUCAACCUGCCCUAUAUUAUUUCUAUCUUCCUUUUAUAUACAAGGGAUAUGUAUUCUUCAAUAAUAUUUUAUAAAAGUAUUUUGAAUAUCCGGAUGCUUUAGAAUAGAAAUUUGUCAGUGAUAAGGAAGCAAAGCACUUAGUUCUAUCUCAGUAUUGAUUCCAGAGAAAUUUACACACACACACACACACACAUAUAUAUAUAUAGGAAUUAGUAUUGAUUUCCACAGAGAAGUCAGAAACACACCUUCAAAGGUUUCGGAUCUGUUUCACUAUUCAAAAUACUAGACAGCAACUCCAGGCUAUUGCGAGCUACAACAAGACAUUCUUUUUUUUCCUCGACUGAUAGGUAGUUAUAGCGAAAUUCACGGUCACUUGCAUCAUGAAAUCCUGUGACUGGUACAGGGUAUCUUUCCGGGGGAGGCAUAGGCUCUUCCAUGUAUGAUUCCAAGGUAGAUUGCAACGAGGGCGAAGUCCCUUCUGGUGCCACUGGACGUGCUCCUCUUUCUCUCAAUGUCUGUAUAACACCCAGAGAUAUAAUAAGGACAUCAAAUAUUACUUCAAUGGAUGAAAACCAAGAUUACUACAAGAAGAAAAUUCCAUGGUCCACAGAAGACAGGCCAGAAA